UUUGGGGUUGCCGGAGUUUCAUGAUGAACGGAAUUGUUUGCCCAACAGACCGGUGCAACGCUCUCCGGGACAGUGUAAGGCCUUUUUGUCUAAAAAAAUUCAUUGUAGUGCUUUCAGGUGUCAUAAAUUUGUUCCUGUUUUGCCACCUCCUCCGCCACUUUCACCGCCCUUGCCUGCCCCUCCGCCACCUGUUUAUUCGCCUCCGCCACCAGUUUAUACUCCUCCUUCUCCUUCCCCACCACCUCCUCCACCUCCAGUUUAUUCACCACCGCCACCACCACCCUCUCCACCUCCUCCAUCACCUCCCCCGCCUCCACCACCAGUCUAUUCACCUCCACCCCCACCUCCAUCUCCUCCUCCACCAUCACCUCCACCACCACCCCCGCCAUCUCCACCUCCACCACCAGUUUAUUCAUCACCACCACCGCCACCAUCUCCCCCUCCACCAUCACCUCCACCUCCUCCCCCACCCGUUUAUUCGCCACCACCAUCUCCACCUCCUCCAUCACCAUUGCCUUAUUGUAUACGCUCACCUCCACCACCAAAUUCCCCACCUCCUAAUUCUCCACCUCCACCGCUUGCUCACUCGCCUCCACCCCCUUCACCUUACUAUUACAAUUCACCACCACCUCCGCCCCCAAAUUCGCCUCCUCCUCCACCAGUAUACAUAUACUCAUCACCUCCGCCACCAAAUUCACCUCCUCCUCCACCGCCAACAUACGUAUAUUCUUCACCUCCUCCACCUCCUUCCCCAUUGCCUUGUAUAGAACCCCCUCCACCACCUCCUCCUUGCAUUGAACCACCCCCACCCCCCUCCCCUUCACCAUCUCCUCCUCCACCACCGGUUUAUCAUUACAAUUCUCCGCCCCCACCAUCUCCAUCACCUCCACCACCAGUUUAUUAUCAUUACAAUUCUCCGCCCCCACCAUCUCCAUCACCUCCACCACCAGUUUAUUAUUACAAUUCUCCACCACCACCAUCACCACCGCCUACUCCAGUAUACGAAGGGCCAUUACCACCAGUAAUAGGAGUUCAAUAUGCUUCACCACCUCCACCACCCUUUUAUUAAUUCUUUCAGAAAUUUCACUAACUCUUAUCCUCAGAGCACAAAAUAGUUCCUACAAUUAUUAUUUCCUCAACUCUUCAAGCCAUCAACAAAAUCGAGCUAAUAUGUGAUCACGAACCUUAAAUGGUACGACAGAAAGAAAGAUAGAGGAGGUAAAGAGGAGAAAGAUUCAAUCUCCAAUGAUUUUAUUUUUGAAUUGUUAUCAAAUAGAUUGAAGUUGUGGAGAGAAUAAAUUGGCAAAGUAAAGAUUGAAACUUUGCUGGAAAAUGUAUGUAUAGAGAGAUCAUAAUCUUGAAUUAGAAACCAGUUUACAGUGCUUGCUGCAACUGGUUUUAUUUAAUGAUCAUACUUUGAUUUCUUUGUAAUUUUUUCUUUUUUUUUUUGGAUCUUCCAAACUAUAGUAUAAGAUGAGCUUUUUAUUUUCUUUUAAAACUUGUAUUGAUUCCUCAUAAUUCAGAUGAUUUCUUUCUAUAGCUAAUAGGUGUUCUUCUUUAUGUAUCUUCUUGAUCUUACAAUCCUCCCACUUGAUGUUUUAUUUUUUCUUGAUGAACAAUAUUGGUUAUUUGAAAUUUAUUGAUUCGAUUAACUCGAGUUUGAGUGGGAUAGAGCUUUGUGUAUCGAAAUGUUAUCAAUUUUUUCAGUCGUUUGUUAAAGAUGAAGAGAUUUCAACUAUUUUAUAUGUUUGGACUCAGAAGCAAGAACACCAUAAGUAGCAAUUCAUGAUUCGAUUUGAGUUGAUUUUGUUUUUCAUUAACCAUCUAAAUCGAUGUUUUGAAUAUUAAAAUCAUAUCAGACAAAUUGAAGCGAUUAUUCUAAAAAUGUGUGAUAUUUAAUGUCAAAAGGAUUAUAUUCUAGCAUAACAUGAUCAAUUCAAUUAUUCUUAAGAAAAGAAAACACUAUACAUAUAAUUAAGCUACUCCGUCUUUAUUUGUUUUUGUUGAUUCUUAUUGACUUGACACUACAUUUUAUCGUAAAUUAGGUUCAUUUUUACAAAACUAAUUUCAACAAUGUACCUUUUUUUGUGUGUGUGUGUGUGUGUGUGUUGGGGUUUGGGGUGGGGGGNNNNNNNNNNNNNNNNNNNNNNNNNNNNNNNNNNNNNNNNNNNNNNNNNNNNNNNNNNNNNNNNNNNNNNNNNNNNNNNNNNNNNNNNNNNNNNNNNNNNNNNNNNNNNNNNNNNNNNNNNNNNNNNNNNNNNNNNNNNNNNNNNNNNNNNNNNNNNNNNNNNNNNNNNNNNNNNNNNNNNNNNNNNNNNNNNNNNNNNNNNNNNNNNNNNNNNNNNNNNNNNNNNNNNNNNNNNNNNNNNNNNNNNNNNNNNNNNNNNNNNNNNNNNNNNNNNNNNNNNNNNNNNNNNNNNNNNNNNNNNNNNNNNNNNNNNNNNNNNNNNNNNNNNNNNNNNNNNNNNNNNNNNNNNNNNNNNNNNNNNNNNNNNNNNNNNNNNNNNNNNNNNNNNNNNNNNNNNNNNNNNNNNNNNNNNNNNNNNNNNNNNNNNNNNNNNNNNNNNNNNNNNNNNNNNNNNNNNNNNNNNNNNNNNNNNNNNNNNNNNNNNNNNNNNNNNNNNNNNNNNNNNNNNNNNNNNNNNNNNNNNNNNNNNNNNNNNNNNNNNNNNNNNNNNNNNNNNNNNNNNNNNNNNNNNNNNNNNNNNNNNNNNNNNNNNNNNNNNNNNNNNNNNNNNNNNNNNNNNNNNNNNNNNNNNNNNNNNNNNNNNNNNNNNNNNNNNNNNNNNNNNNNNGGUUUGGGGUGGGGGGUUGGGGGUAUUGAAGUCUCCCUUUGAUUGAGGGAAAGUAGUUGAAUUGUGUCCUAAAUUGGAUGUCUUUAUCAUUUAUUUAUUUAAAAACUUAGGAAAAGUGAAAGAUUCCAUUAUCAUCUAGCUAAUUGAGAAUUUUGUAUUAUGACCAUGUGACUUCAGCCCCCACUAUAACAUUAUCACCAAAAGUUUUAUUUGUAGAAAUAGAGUUCACGAGUUAUUUUCGAUAUUAUCUGUACAAAAAUAAAUAGUAUUUUAUUUUAAAAUUCUAAGAAGAAAAAAAAAGUCUGUCGAGUUCGAUUCUUCUUAGUUGGGUUGGACGAAUUCAACCAAAAAUGUUAUGUUUACACACAAGAUUACUCUACGUGCGAUUAUUUAAGGACGACGGACGACUUUCAAUGGGAGAUGAUUCACUGCACAAGGACACUGUAAAGGAAGAGCUUUAUUCUAGCGAAUAGAAGAUACUUAGCUCCGCUCAAUAUAGAGAUUAACAUACUUUCGUGUAGAACAAAACGAAUGAUAGACGAUUCGAUAAAUACAGCAUGACGAUCAUUAUAAAUUCAUGAAUUAAAAAUAUUGAAUUAUACUCUUUCAUUUGUAAAUUUUGCUUGAUUUGUUAAAAUUUCAAAUUAGUUUGGUUGAUUUUAUCUUCACUCAAUUAAAAAAAACUUUUCUGCUAUACAAAAUAAAUAUCUUAAUUCUACCUCAUGUAAUUCUUUGGAUCAUUCAUAUUAUUAAUGUCCAAAAACCAUUUUGUUUUUAUUCUUGAUCAUGACACAAUUCCACCCGUGAAGUAUAACACAAGAUCAUUGUAUAUCAUAAUCGAUUAAAAUUCCAUAUGUAAAAUUUGAAACUCAAAGACAAUAAAUGUAUUACAAUUAUAAAAGCGUAAAAAGAAAUUAUUUAUGAAUUUACCAUUUGUAAAAUUUGAAACUCAAAAGGAGUAUAUAACUUGUUUUUUUCUUGACACUAUUUUCAAUAAUGUGCUUUCAUUUAUUUGUUUUUCCUACACCACACGUGACCCCACCUCCAGACAGUUACCCUUUUUUUUGGGUCACUUAUAAAUUAUAAUUUCGAUAUUUGUAUUAAAGACUCGGUUAAAUUUAAAUUUGUAUAUUGCAUAAUUUAUUUCUAGGAAUAUUGCUUUCAACAUGAUUUUUCAUUAACAGCAAAUGAAUCUCAAUCAUCCAACCAUUUCGUUUCAUACUAUAAACCUAACUCAUUAACAUUUUUAUCAUGCUACUAAUACACUAAUAUAUAUAUAUAGUUUGCUUUGUGAUGAUGAAUUAAUUAUUAUUUCUCAUAUUACUAUUGUGAUAUUUGUUAGAGAUUUUAUUUAACAAUUGUUUUACAAAUAAUUUGAUCGUGUAAAAGAAUAUUUUACAAGUAAAUUCCUUUGCUUUGUUGUCUUUAUUUAUUUUUGUCAAUAUCAUGAGAUUCUUUUUCCCUUUUGUUUAAAUAUUCUAUCAACACCAAGGAAAUAGUUUUAAAAAUGUGAUCAAUUUUCUAAUAGUUGGUUGACAUUUGAGUCCUUUUCAAAGCACAAAAAAGAGCAUAUACUAUCACAUUUUAGGGUGAAGUAAUUUUUUUUAUCAACCUGCUUUAAAUUUUCGAUAGAAAUUAGCAACCUGUAAGUGACAGAUACUCUAUAAUUCUAUUAGCUAUGAGUCAAUUUAAUGAUGAAAUUCGUGGUCUAAAAUAAACUUCAUAAGUUGCAAGAACAAUAAAAAGUGAAGAUCAUUUACUAAAUAAUUAUCCCAUAAAAAUGUCAUUAUAGCUAUCAAUUUGUAAACUCUAAACAAAUCAUAAGAUUGUAAAGCGUAUUAUAACACAUUAAUGGAAGUGAUUUAAUUUUUUUAUUCCGCAUUCGAUGUUCGAUAUUUAUAUUGAAAUGCUAAUUAAUUUGAAUUCGCACUGUGUAACCUACUUAAGAGGAAAACACUCCUUAACUUAAUUUUUUCAUACACAUGACUCAAACUCAAAAAUUCUAAUUAAAAAUGCAUCGUAAUUUCUAUUCAUCUUACCAGAAUCGUUAUUGAGAUUUAAUACUGAAAAUGGGGUCCAAAUCAACAUUAUACUCAUAUCACAUGGUUUUGCUAAGGGAAUUCUCACAUCAUAUCUACUCUUUCUUGGUGUUAGGAUUUGUAUGGUUGCAUAUUAAUUAAUUAGUUGGUUGACUAAGUGUAUUUAUACAUUUUUAAAUCUUGAAAAAUAAUUAGUGGUCAUUUAUUUAAAGCCUUAAAAAUACAGCCUGUUAGUAGGUCAAGCAUAUUAAUAAUCGAUAGGUCAAAAAUCUCACAUACCCCCCAUUUGUACUUUUCUUUUUUCUUUUUCACUCGAGGUUCGAUACUUAUAAUGGGAGUCAAUUAAAUUUGAAUUUACGUAUUAAAUGGCUCAUUUCUGGAGUGAUGUUUCUAACAAUAUUAUUUUUUUUUAAUUUUAUUUUAAGAAUUCAAACCUGAAACGAUUUUUCCAAAAAGAAUAUCAUCCACUACCAACCAUGUUGGUAUACCCCAUUAUACUGACUCUCCUCCAAACAUACUAUAGAAAACAUAAAUAAUAAUAAUAAUAAUAACGUCUUAAUUUCAAUAAAUUAAAAUUGACUAUAUAAAUUUUUGCCAUUCAUGUUAUUUUAUUUAAAUUCGUCAAGGCUUAAAUAACCAAGCUUGCUCCAACCGUUAGGUUUGUUUCUUCCGGCUGGUAUACAUAUUUAAUUCUUGGAAAUCGAUAAACCCUAAUGAUAAUAUUUUAUGUAUAUAUUUUUUAAAAUGUAGUGUAUAAACUUCUUUAACAUUGCUGUCUUUCUAAGCAAAUUGCAAAUCUCCAUGCCUAGAAUUAUGUUGAAAUUUGUGUCUAAAAGAAUGAAAAGGCCAAAGUAUGGAAAUUAAGAAUAUUAAUAAGGGAGUUGUUGGUAAGAAUAAAGAUUAAAUAAUGUAAUUUCAAACACAUUCUAUGAUGACACUUGGAGGAUAAUCAAAACAGAUUGCGAUAGAUGGUUGAGAUUCUUCUGCCUUGGUUCGAUUGUGAAAUAGGAUUAGGAGCAACAAUAGGACUAAUAUUUGAAAUAUAAAAUAUAUUUAAAAAAUAUUUGAACUAUGAUUCAUACUUAAUAUUCAAACCUCAUGUCCAAGUUUCAAAAUCCAUGGCGUGACCACAAAUGCAUUGUAGAGCUAGAUCAAAUUUAUCAACAGACAAUUGAAAAACGAUACGACCCAUGACCUCCCUCUACUCGUGCAUGCGUGCAAACCUUCGAUGCAGGUGUUAUUGAAGAUAUAAUUAACUAAAAAUAAGAUGGUUGCAGACUUCAAUAUAAUAUUACAUCGGACAACUAUAUUGAGUCCGAGUCUUAUCACCGCUCAAACUUUUCAAAAUAUCACGUAUGUGACCCUAAAUCAAAUCAAGCCUUAACGUGAAGGUAGGUGUUGAGAAAACAUAACUGCCAGUAACAUGUCAAUCAGUGAGUAAACUGAAUCUUUUUCUACAACAAGAGAAAUUGUACAUCCAAGGCACAAAUUAAAAUUGAACCUACAUGUCUGCAACAACUGAAAUUUGGUGCAAUAUCUGCCAAAAUAUUACAAGUAGUUAGAAAUAGUUGAUAGUGAUAUCAAAAUAUCAAAGAAAUUAAAUCGUGAUAUGACUAGAUUUCUUUCACUUGGUGGUUGGGGUAGAGUUUUAGUCUACCUUCCACCGAAUAUAAAAAAUCUUAGAGUUGUCUAAUCUAUUGACGUCUCGAUGAACAGAGCCAUUAUUUGUGUCACAUCUUCAAAUUCAAAUAAGGACUUUUAUUUUUUCUUAUCUCUCAAAUGAUAAGAAUUGAAGCGAUUGAGAGAAAGAAAAAAACUAUUGCAUACACUCCCAUUUGGCGGCCUUUAUUAAGACAAAAGUAAGAGUGAAACUACGAAUCAUAUAUAACAUAGUAUUCAUUGAGAGACAGAAUAUGUUGUUGGUGUUAUUGCUGAAUCACUUUCAUUACUAUGUUGUUAUUAUUAUUUUUAUUAUUACCUACUUAGUAUUAUUAUAUAGUGUGUUUAAAUAUUUUAAUGAAUUUGAUCGAACUUAGAAGCACAAAGAAAUAUAAAUGAGAAAGGGGGUUUAAAAUAGGGCAUCUUACAUAAAUCUCACUACUUUAGAUCCCAAUUACUAGGAUUCCCGAUAGUUUGUAAUAUUACUUUUUAUACCAUAUUUUGGCCCCGAGAUACAUGUAUCAUUGAUGGCGAGAUACAUGUAUCCAACCGUUUUUAAAGCUGAGAUACACGAUUUAUUAAUUUAAAUUAAAGGAGUUGUAACUUAUUUCCUUAAUUAAUGGAUUAAUUUCUGACUAAUUAACAACUCAACAAAUUUAUAGGAUCUUGAGUAUCAUCUCUAACAAAUAUUCCUAAAAUAACGAAAUCAUAAACCUAAUUAAUUUUGUUAUUGUACUCUUCAUCUUCUUCAUCGGCUUGAAUCAUUAAUGGCGAGAUACAUGUAUCCAACAGUUUUUAAAGUNNNNNNNNNNNNNNNNNNNNNNNNNNNNNNNNNNNNNNNNNNNNNNNNNNNNNNNNNNNNNNNNNNNNNNNNNNNNNNNNNNNNNNNNNNNNNNNNNNAAUCAUUAAUGACGAGAUACAUGUAUUCAAGCCGAGAUACACGAUUUAUUAAUUUGGAUUAACCUCUUCAUCUCUUCUUCAUCAACUUGAAUCAUUAAUGGCUGCACAUGGCUUCAUCGGCGUUCAACGACUCGUCGGAGUAAGGAGGAAGUAUUUAAUGUAAAUUGAACUGAAACAAGUAAUUGGAAGAAUUGCAGAGAAGAAGAAAUGCCUAAAAAGUAGAGAACAAAGAAGAAGUACAGAAAAUUCUUGUUUAGAAGGGUGGUUGCCUUUUUGCCUUCUAAAAUGUUAUACCAAAGAUAUAAUCACACUCUAAGCAAGAAGAUAGUGCACAACAUUACAUUCAUAAUGCGGUUAUAUGAAAACGCAAAGUUUGUCAUUUCCGGAUUGAGGGUGGAAUCCGGUAAGGGCUGGGUGGGGGUGGGGGGAGAGAUAUUGUUGGGGGAGGAGACUGAAGGAGGUUGAAUUGUUAAGGGGAUUUAAAUUUUAGGAUAAUUAUUCAAUACCAUAUUUAAGGGAUUUGUGUAUCUGAUUUAAUUUUUAAAUAUAUGGUAUAAUUAUUAAAAAGUGGUAUUAUGAGUAAUAUUUUUAAACUAUAGGUAACAUAUGUAUAUAUAGUAGUUAAGUAUGUCUAAUUAUGUAGUUUAAUCUUUAAAAUACAAAAUUAGGUCCAAAUUUUCAUCAUAAUUGACCCAUUUGAUUUAGGCCCAAUCUACCUAUUAAUUGGGCUAGGCCUUUAGCUCAUUACAUGGACCUCAAUUCAGCCCAAAACAUCAUCCAAACCACUAUUUUAGAAGGUAAAUAAUCUUAUUUUAAGUAAGAUUUUAAGAUUUAAAUUAUCUUUUUUACUUUCUUAAAUUCGUAUUAGGAUAAAAGUAAAAAUGUAAGCAUGCACAAGUAGAGCAGAAAACUUAAGUAUGAAAUGAAAGUAUUUAUAGAAGGAGUUGGGUAAAAGAUAAAAAUAAGAUUAUCAUCAUUAUAUUUACUCCAAGUGCAAAAUUAAAUUACAAAAACACCCAUUAAAAAUUAAACCAUCAUAUUAUCCUUAGCUUAUCGAUCCUAUUUCUAUUAUAUUUUGUACCAUAAAGUUUAAUAUAUAUCAAUAAAUAAUAAUAUUAUAAAUGAAUGAGGUAAAUAAAAAGACAUUAGCGUGGAGUUUUCCUUCCGUUUCAUAUUACUUGUUUGUCUUAUAAAAAUAGUUGUCUUAAAUUAUUUUUCAAUUUACAAAAUCAAGAUGAAACUAAUUUUUUUAUUUUAUCUUAACAAUUAAUAAUUUUUAAAAGUGUAAUUUUUUAAAAUAAAAAAUAAUCAGAAGGUAAAUAAGUAAAACUAAAGGUGUAAAUGAGGAUGAAGUGUGAACAACUAAUAUAAAGUCAAGAGAGUAUUAAAUUCAGUAACUAAUUCAUCUACAAAAUGCUAUUAUUAGUUACCUAUUUAUAGUGAAAAAUGUUUGAGAAGAAUUGUCUAAUCUACAAUUUUUAAGUUUUUUCUAUUUUUGUGGCAAGUGAUGCUUAUUUGUUCACACCAUCAUUUGAAGGUACUUUUCAUUUUAAUUUUCCUCUCCAACUAUAUAUUUAAGCAAUUUUAUUUGUGUGGUUAUAAUGUUGGCGAUGAAUUUUCAAUUGUCUUUCGAUUUAGUAUUUUUAAUUUUAAUUUUAUAUAUUUGGGUUGGAGGUUGUCAUGAAUUCAUGUAAAUUUAAAAAUUUUCAAUUUUUUUUGAUGGGGUGGCCUGGAUUGGGGGGGGGGGGUAAAAAGGAAUUUUUUUAAAAUUUGAAUUUUUUUCCAAACACUACUUUUUUUAAAAAAGUAAAAUUACGAGGUGACCUAGGGGGUAGAGGGUGGCGUAAAAAUAUUUUUAUUUUUAAAAUUUAAAAUAAUUUCCAAAAAAUAUUUAAAAAAUAAUUUUUUUGACGGGUGGCCUGGGUAGGGGUUGGCAGGCCGGGGGUGGGGUUGAGAGGUGUAGUAAGAAAUGAAAAUAAUUUAAAUUUGAACCAUUUUCCAAAGAUUUUUAAAAAAAAUAAUAUGACUGGGUGGAGGUGCCGGGGGGGGGGGUCGUUUGGAGGUAGGAAUAAAAAUAUUUUUGAAAUUUAAAUAAGAAAAUUUAAAAUUUUGAUAUUUUUUGGAUGGGGAGGGUCGGGUAUGGCGUACGAGGUAGGGUAAGAAAAAAAUAUUGAAGGAUGAAGUAGAGUUUUGAAAAAUAUUUUCCUUAAUUUUUGAAGGGAAUGACUUUUUCUUAAAUUUGAGGAAAUGAGUUGAUUUGAAAAACAUUUAAGUCAAGCCAAACAUGGAAAAAUUGGAAAACUUUAUACCAAACACACCCUUAGAUUUAGAUUUAGGAUUCGAGAAAGUAGUUAAUUCUAUUAGAUGAACAGUAAGACAAUUAUAACUACUGAUUUCUGUUAGAUUAGUGAAUAGUGGUAGAUUUCAAUCACUCAACUUGUAAUCAAUCAACUCAUUGUACAAUUAUGAAAAUACAAAAUUGUUCUCUCUUCUUAAACUCUCUUAUUCUCUCUUAAUUUUUAUACAAAUACAAUGUAUAAUUUGUGUUUGUAUAAAGAGAAAGAGAGAUUUGAUAUACAAAUACAAAUGUUUAAUUUAACUCGAUUCAAUUGUAUAUGAAUUCAAAUUUUAUGCAGAUAUACAAACACAAUCAUUGAUACAUAUAUAUGUUACAUAUAUAUAAUUAUCUAACCGAUAUACAUAUACAAUUCACCUCUCUCCACUCUCUGCCCUCUCUCGCUUGCCUUUCUCACCUCUCUCCUAAUCUUGCUCGCCAAUCUAGCCUAACACAGAGAACAUAUACAUGUACAAACACAAUUUUCAUAGACAAAGACUCCCGAUUUAUAUAAAUCGCCGUGAUUUAUACAAAUCAGAUGCUCCAUGGCAAACAUAAUUGGGAAAAAGGACAAAUAUACCUUCAAACUAUUGUACAUGGUAUGCAGAUACCCUCUGUCAUACUUUCGGGACAUUGGUGCUCCUGCCGUCCAAAAACUAGAGCAUAUAUGCCCUUCACUCUAACGGAAGACUAAAUACGGACACGUGGCACAAUCUUAUCCGUCGAUCCGAUAUUUAAUAGAUGUCGGAUCUGUGGAUAAGAUUAUGACACGUGUAUGUCCAUUAGUAUAUAGGGUAUAUAUAUAUGCUCUAGUUUUUAAACGGCAGGGGCACCAAUGUCCCAAAAAUAUGAUGGAGGGUAUCUGCAUACCAUUUACGAUAGUUCGCAGGUAUAUUUGUUAUUUUUCCCAACAUAAUUUGGCUAUGGAGCGCAAAAGGCAAAACUGUAGCUAUAGUUUGCUAAUAUGAUUUUUAUCUUUGCUAUUCUUAAAAUUUACUUAUUAUAUUCUAAAUGACUUGAUAGUAUAAAAAUUCUUUUACAUUAGUUAAAUUAUUGUGAUUAAUUAUGUUAAAGCAAUUCUUAGAUUCUUAUAAUCCAUUGUCGUUGGUUUAUCUUUAUCUAUUAACAUUUAAUCUUUAUUUGACUUAUAAUUAGUGAUAGAACUAAAUGAUUGUUUAUCCCGAUUUAUAGCAUUUUCCCCCUUAUCUUGACCAGUAAUUCCUCUUUAAUUAGCAAUGUUUCACUUGUGAAUUAAUCAAUUGUUAUCUUCAAUUUAUAAUUAGUUACGUAUUAUAUAGAGUGUCCCAGAACACUGGGACAUUCUCAAAUUCUAUCCUUAAUUAUCUUAUUAUUCAUGUUAAUUUAUAAUUAAUCAUAUAUCUUCUUUUAAUCUCCAACAUCUGCUACACAAGUACAAAGAGCCAACAUUAAUCCUGGUAUUUAUUCAUAUCAUUAUUUUCUGCAAAUGAAUUAUGAUUACAAUAAUACUCUUUAUUUUAAACACGCAAAUUUUUGAGGAAUGUUCUUCUUGGAAUGUUGUCAGAAAUAUGAAAUUUUCGAUGAAAAUUCUGUCGGAAAUGUCUCUGAGGAGCCAAUUUCUUGAUGGAUUUCAUCGAGAAUUCGCGUGUAACUUUUUUGUUAUUUGCUUAUGUAUUAUAAAAAUAUUCAAAAGUUAUUGAUAUUUUAAAAGUUUUUUUUUUUUGCAUUACUGAAACACGCAAAUUUUCGAGGGCUAUUCUUGUGGGAAUAUUGUCAGAAAUAUGAAUUUUUUUUAUGGAAAUUCUGUCGCAAAUGUCUCCAACAAAGUCAAUUUUUUUUUAUGGAUUUUCACGUGUAACUUUUUUGUUAUUUAUUUAUUUAGUAUGACAAUAUUCAAAAGUUAUUGAUAUUUUAAAAGAUAUAAUGAUUCUAAAAAAUAGGAAUUGUUGUUGGUAUUUUCAAAUAUGAGAAAAUAAAGAUCAUACAAAAACAACAACAAAAGUUAAUUUUUUUUUGUCGGAACUGACUUUUUUAUGUUAUAUUUUUAUUGUUUUUUAACAAUUUUUUAAAUCUAUAACAAUAACAUUCAUCUUUGCGUUGGGAUGAAAUAACACAAAGUUUGAAUUAUAAAUUUUAUCCUGAAUUUAGCUAUAUCUUUCGCUAAAUAAAGUAUAAAUUUACUUUCAAACGUAAUUCUGAAUUAUCUCACCUUAUUUUAUGCACCAAAUGACCGACCCCCGUACCUCAUUUAUAUCUUUUCCUUAUUCAUGAAAAAAAGCACAUCGAUGCACUACAACAAAAAUAACAUUUAGCGGCAAUAAAUAUACACAUUAUUAAAAACUGUUAAAAUAUUUCCGAUAUCAGUUAAUUGUCAUUGGAUGAAUUAAUUUAUUAUAUACUCCAUUCCGCUUCUACAUGUAACUAGCUAGUCAUAUUACAUGCUAAACAAAUUUCUUCUUUCUUUCUUUUGCAAAAAUAGCCAGUUAUAAAAAUUGAGAUUAACAAAUACACUCUUCGUUUAACAAUAGUUGUCCAUUAUACUAAAAACAGUUGUUCAAUAAUAUUUGUCCAAUUUAGAAAAUCAAGUGAUAAUUUACCAUUUGUGUCAAUUUUAACCUUGCUAUUAAAUACUUUUUAUCAUCUAACACAUUUCUCAGAACAUUAAAUUUAAUAAAGUCAAAGGAUAAUAUAGUAAUAUUAAGCCCUAUUAUUUAUUGUUUCUUAAGGAGUGUGUCAAGUCAACAGACAACAGUGUACACAUAUUACCUACUAUAACAAUCCUUUUAUUCUUCUAUAAAUACAUGCAUAAACUCCUCAUGCUAAUCAAAUUCCCCCUAAAAAAAAAUUAAUUUUUUUUUCUUUGCAGAAAUAGCCACUUAUAAUGGGUUCUCCAAAGUCUUUACAUGGAGUGAACUUUGCACCACCACGUAGCUUUGGGACAGUUCUUAAAGCAAAUUUGAAAGAAACACUAUUUCCAGAUGAUCCAUUUUAUGAAUUCAAGAAUGAAAAAUUAUCAAAAAGAAUUUUAAAGGGAAUUCAAUAUUUUGUACCAAUUUGUCAAUGGUUACCAAAAUACAAUUUUGGGCUAUUUAAGUUUGAUCUUCUUGCUGGAAUUACAAUUGCUAGUCUUGCAAUCCCACAAGGAAUAAGCUAUGCAAAACUUGCUGAACUUCCUCCAAUUAUCGGACUCUGUAAGUUACAUACACUGACAGUAUAUACUCGUUCAUGUUUAUUAAUUAUUACUACUCCCUCCUUACCAAAAAAAAAAAAAAAUGGUCUUAGUUACUAUUUAAACGGUCAAAAGCAUAUAUAUUUUUUAAGAUUUUGUAAUAUUUUGAAUUGUUGACUAGUUUGACUUAUAUUAGUACUUUUUAUAUUUAUUCUAAAUAUGUAUAUUUAUUUUAAACAGAUUCUAUGUCUGAAUUCACACGGAAUAUAAUAUUAGUUAAUUUGACCCUCGACAAUCUUUUUUGAACGGAGGGAGUAAUAUUUUGUACAUUAUUUGUGUAACUUAAACUUUUUAUAGCACAUUACGUACUACUUAUUAUCGAUUACUCAUCAAUUUUAUUAGAUAGAGGUAUAUAUGAAUUGAAGAAGAAAAAUAAAUAGUUUUUCAUCCAGUAGAGAUUGAUCGAGAAUUUAAAGUAUAUGGGGUACCUACAUUGAUUUAACGUUAUUAUACAAUAAUAACUUGGUUCACAGUAAAAUAUUUAUAGAUUUUUAAUACAAAUUAUUGAUUAAUUGGUUACUUAAUUUAUAUAAAUGAUUUUUUUUGCAGAUUCAAGUUUUGUUCCUCCUCUAAUUUAUGCAAUUUUUGGGAGUUCAAAACAUCUUGCUGUUGGAACAGUGGCAACUUGUUCAUUGAUUAUGGCUGAAUCAAUUCAACAAAAAGUUAAGCCUGAAGACAAUAUGCAAUUGUAUGUUGGUUUGUUCUACACAGCCACCCUUAUAUCUGGUUUGCUACAAACAGCUUUGGGGGUAUUCAGGUAAUUAUACACACCAAACCAGUCGUUUAACUUUUAUAUACUGACAAAUAGAAAAAAAAAUUGUAUAUUAAAAUUAUGUUGAUUGGACUCUUCGAAUAUGUCAAUGAUUGCGUGUUGAAUCAACCAAAAAUAAUAGAGAAAAUGGUCAAAUGCCCCCUAACUUAUAUUCGCAUUUCCAACUACACACUUCAAUUUUACGGUUGUCCUAUUAUCCAUCCUUAACCAGAGGUCUUGAGCCUUCAGUAGAGAUCAUAAAUCUUGAUAGGGAACAUAUACUCCUCUAAUGAGCCUUUUGGGGCGUGAAUUCAAAUUAUUUGAAAUCUCAGAACGAGUAUCAACCAUCGAAUGGAAAAAUUAUUUACAUCUAUCAUCUAAUUAGUUUUUUUUUUUUUUUUUUUGGUGUGUGUGUGUGAUGUAGGCUUGGAUUUUUGGUUGAUUUUCUAUCACAUUCAACAAUUACUGGAUUUAUGGGAGGGACAGCACUUGUUAUUUGCCUACAACAAUUGAAGGGCAUGCUUGGCUUGAAGCAUUUCACUAGCCAUACUGAUGUUGUUCAUGUUUUACGUGCUGUUUUUGAAAACAGAAAAGAGGUUAGUUAAUUUUAUAGAGUAAAAAAUAGUUUGGUGCACAAAAUAUUCUACGUUCACGUAGGGUUCGAGGAAUAAUCGCACUUCAAGGUGUGUGAUUAGACAGUCCACCCUAAUACAAACAUUAGUGUUUGCUUUUAUGGUUCGUGUCCAUAAACUAUACGUCACACAAAGACAAAUUUCAUAGAGUAUUUAACUAAAUUAAUUCUAUGUAGGAUCGAAAUUUUGGUCCGUUAUUUCUUUUUGUGUUCGGCUGUUUAGUAAAUGACUCUCUUUUUACUUGCCUUGUAAUUUAUGGACCUUUUAGGUCAUGACGGUCUAAAGAUUUCUUUUGAGCAAAUUAAAAAUCUUACGAAAAGAACUUUAGAUCACAUUAUAAAAUAGUUUAGACGUUAAAAGACAGUCUAAUAUUUUGUCAAUUACAAAGACUAUAUUUGCAUAACUUUCUAAAUAAGAAUAAAUAAAUUUAAAUGAUGACCUAAAAGAGGAUAUUUGCGUAAAUCAGACCAUGUUCAAUAUAUAAGGAAAAAUUAAAAAUGUAUUAAGCCAAAUUUCACACACAAAAAGAUUCUAUUUUUUUUUUUUUACCAAUGUGAUUUAUUUAUUUUAAUUUUUUUUUGCUUUGAUACUGACUUGAUUUUUUUUUCUAUUUUCUAUUUAUAUAUAAACAGUGGACAUGGCAGUGUGCAGUUGUUGGAGUAAUCUUCCUUACUUUCUUACAAUUAUCUAGAUAUGUGGUAAGUUUUUUUAUACGAUAUUUUAAUUUAUAUAUACUGACAGUAUAAAAAAUAAUUUUAAAUUAACCAAAAAAAAUAUUUUUUUUGCAGAGAAAAAAGAAACCAAAUCUAUUUUGGGUUUCAGCCAUUGCUCCAAUAAUUGUUGUUGUAGUUGGCUGCCUUUUUGCUUAUUUAUUCAAUGCUGAAAAACAUGGCAUAGCUAUUGUAAGUUAAAUUGCCCUCUCUUUUUAAAAAAAAAAAAAAUUCAUUUUGGAUAUUUUUAUUAAAUAUGAUCGCGAAAAAUAAUCAUAUGAGAAAUUGUCUGAUGAAGAGUUCCCUAGCUAGACGAUUUUUCAUGUGAAAUGACUUAUAAAAUAAUAGCAUGACAUAUUGACAUGAGUCAUUUCGAGUUUAAAAUUUAGAACUUCUUUACCAUAUGUUAUCUUAUAUUUGAUUUUAAUUUUAAUUUUUUUUUAAAACUCAAUGCAGGUGGGAAAAUUGAGUAAAGGAAUUAAUCCACCCUCUCUUAAUCUUAUAAAUUUUAGUCCAGAAUAUAUAUCUGUUGUUUUAAAAGCUGGGAUCGUUACAGCUAUGGUUUCACUAGCAGUAAGUACAUUUUAAUUAUUCUCGCUUUUUAUGCACUUUUGAUUUUCUCUUUCCAAAUUGCUCUAUCGAAAACAACAUUAGUAUGCAUAUACGUUAUACAUUAUCCUUUCUAGAUUUACGUGUGAGAAUAUUACAUCGAGUAUGUUGUUGAUGUUAUUCAAUUAUUAUUUUUGUUUUUUGCAAUGGGAUAUUUUAUAGGAAGGAAUAGCUAUUGGAAGGAGUUUCUCUAUGAUGGAUAAUGAACAAAUUGAUGGCAACAAAGAGAUGGUAGCCAUUGGACUCAUGAAUAUUGUUGGCUCUUUAACUUCUUGCUACUUAAGUACAGGUAAUUAAUUUCUUUGUUAUAAAUCAAAUAUUAAAUUCUGAACUCAUCUAUUCAAAAAUUUUAUUUGGAACUCAUAAAGUUUAAAUCUUGGAUCUGUCUCUCGCGACAAAUAAAUUACACUUCCUACUAAGAAGCGAGUGAGAGUUAGCAUCUCACAGAGGUUGAGUCAGAAUUUUUAGUUUAUGGAAUCUGGAUCACAUCUUUUUGUUUACUAACUUCUCGAUAGAUCAUUUAUACAUAUUAAAAUAAAUAUUUCAACACUAAUACAAGGUUUAAGUCAAAGUUAUUGUGUUCUAAUGAACCAAAACUAUCACUUACGACUAACAUAUAUGUCCCUAGUUAGUAAGUAGUUUCUUUAACUUUUUUAUACACUGAUAGUAUACCGUAAACAUCUACUAAUGAUUUUUUCAUAUUUUUUUAUUAGGGCCAUUUUCAAAAACAGCAGUGAACCACAAUGCUGGAUGCAGGAGCCAAAUGUCAAAUGUAGUUAUGUCAUUGUGCAUGUUGCUAACUUUAUUGUUUUUGGCUCCACUUUUUGGCUACACACCACUUGUUGCCUUGGCUGCUAUCAUCAUGUCAGCAAUGCUUGGGUUAAUUGACUAUGAGAAGGCAUAUCACCUCUACAAGACUGACAAAUUUGAUUUCUUGAUUUGUAUGGCUGCUUUCUUUGGUGUUGCCUUCAUUAGCAUGGACAUGGGACUCAUGAUGUCGGUACGUAAGCAAAAAAAUAUUAUUAUUAUUAUUCAGAAUUUUGUUCAGACCCCAGUCGUGAAACUACAUUAAGUAUCUUCUUCUUAUUGUUAUUACUUGGGAUCUGAUUGAUACAACAAAAGUCAUUUUCUAGUGAUUGACCAUAAGAAAAACACUUCUCAUCAAAUGGAAAGAAAUUACUAGGUAAAAUUCAUAAAUAACCGUGUUUUAGUCCUUCUGAUUGAAAAGUAGUCAUUAUCGUGAGCUUUAAAUUUUACAAAAUGUUUCUAUAGUUCCACAUUCUUCAAAACACUAUUUAGUUCUUUUUCUUGUCCAUCAAACUAUUUUUUAGGAAUAUAUAUUUAGUGAAAAUGACUUUUAUCAUAUUAAACAUGGUAAAAACUUACGCUUACUCGAUAUAUGAUUACUUUUUUUGUAGGUUGGACUUGCCUUGGUAAGGGCACUUCUAUAUGUUGCUAGGCCACCUACUUGCAAACUUGGAACCAUUACAAAUACUGCAUUUCGUGACGUAGAACAAUAUCCUGGUUCUAAACAAACUCCAGGAAUGUUGAUUUUGAAGCUUGGUUCUCCAAUUUACUUCCCUAAUAGCAAUUAUGUUAGAGAAAGGUAAGAAAUCUCUCUGUAAUAACGUCGUUAUAGGGCAAAUUGCUAUUCACCAUUUAUAAUAUAGAGGCAUAUACUAUAUAGAUCAUAGGCAUCUUAACUUGGCAUCAACUGAAAACUAAACCUUCCGUCUUUGAUGAUGCAGAUCUAGACACCUAAGUUCGUUUUCAUCAUGUCUGUUGAACACUCCAACUUAUAAAAUAAUCGUCUAGACACCUCUAAAAUUUAUGUAUCACGUCAGCGGUCACUACUAAAAGUCAUUAUUUUCCCAUUGAAAUUUCCCACCGGAAAAUGCUCAGUGGUUAUUCCCACACAUAUAUAUGGUAGCUAGAUAUGCAUCCCUAAAGUUGAUGUGUUUACUUGUCAGUUGCAAGUUUGAGUGUCUCUAUAUAUAUUAUGUCGAUGCUAUAACAUAAUAUGAAAAACUUGAUAUAAAAAAAAACUUGACCGUUAUGAUAAAAUAUUAUUAUAACAUAUGAUCAUUAUAGAGAGAUCCGACUUUGAACAUCUUUAUGAAUUUCCAAAGUUUUAAUUAUUUUUCUAAUGGUAAGAUGCUAUUUUUGAUGGAUAUAUUGAGCAGGAUUCUCAGAUGGGUUAGAGAUGAGCAAUCUCUUGAAAAUUCCAAAAGAAAUGAGAUUGAAUACUUGAUACUUGAUUUUGGAGGUAUGAUUUAUGAGCUUAAAAUUAUUUAUUUGAGUUAUGACUACUUAACAAAUAAAAGGUAUAGUUAUUUAAAAGAGAAACUUAAUAAAAGGUCUUUCAGAAUUUUAUUUUAUUUAUUUAUUUUUCAAUAUGUUACUAAAUCAAAGAAAAUUUUAAUGACAAUAUUGUAGGUGUUACAUCAAUUGACAUAACUGGUGUUGAAACUUUAUUUGAAACUCGUAGAUCACUAGCAGCAAAAUCCAUCAAGGUAUGAAUAAUCAUACACUUUCUCAUUAUUAUUUACUCCUUUUACGUUUGCUUCUCGAGAGUCAAAUUACAUCUACUUUUACCAAGAUUUUGAAGAAGUAUUUUUUAACAUGAAAAGGAUUACAACUUACAAUAUUUUCGUAUAAUUUUCAAACAUCAAUUAAACAACUGACUAUCUCGUGUAGCAAAACGUAACAAGUAAAAGUUCUGAAAGGAGAUUAUAUAGUGUUGGAAAUUCACAAACUUUCUAACAUGCUUUUUUUUUUUUGUAUAGAUUAUAUUGGUUAAUCCAAGAUUAGGGGUGAUGGAAAAAUUAAUUGUGACAAGAUUUAUUGAUGUGAUUGGGAAAGAGUCAGUGUUUUUAACAAUUGAAGAAGCAAUUGAAAGUUGCAGAUUUUCACUAAAUUCUUCAAGUCAGACAAAAAGAGAAGAUGUGGAAAUUGCUUAGUCUACAAACAAAUUCAUUAUGCAAUAUUUUAUUUACAAAAGGAGGGAAAAAAAUAGUUUUAAUUUCUGCCAAUUGAACUCUUUUUUUCUUUUUUUUUUUAAUGUUUUUCUACCUUUCUUCCGUUUGUUUGUUAGAAUAGAUUUUGUAACUUUGAUUUUCAAUAGUUUUAUUAUCUUGUUCUUUUCUUUUCUUUUUUGGUAUAAAUAAACUUCUUGAUAGAGUUUAUAAGCUAUAUGACUGAAGUCUAUGAGAAGAAUAACUAUAUUUUUUAGCACGUCUUUUCAUAUUAGCCAAAAAAUAAAUUAUUUAUGUUUGUGGCCUUUGCUCGAUAGAAAAUCAGCACAUUAGUUUGUCUUUCUAUAUAUAUGAUAGUGGCUUUGUUUACUUUCGAUUAAAAAAAAAAAGACUACCCCAAAUUUUUGUUUUUCAACUUUUUAUUGCAUAAAAGAUAAUUUAAAAAAAUGAGAGAAUAGAAAGUGUGUACAUUUUAAAUUUCUCAUAUUCCAGGUUCACAAUAGUUUUUCUUAUGUUUCAAUUAGUGCUAAAGUUAUGUUUCUAAUACAAUAUAUUUUACUAAUUGCUUUUUGGUUGUUAUAAAUAAUAAAUACAUAGAUAGAUAUUUGCAUUAGGUUAUUAUUGUAAAGAGAUAAUUUCACAAAGAAACUACCGUUAAUAAUGACAAUUGUUUAGUGUUAUAAGAAGAAGAAAAAAAGCUUAUAACAAAGUGGAGACUAAAAUUUGAGAUAACAACAUCUCUAGAUAAUUUCAAAAGCAGCGUCGGACGAGAAUGGUGUGUAGGUAGCUUUACCCUUAAAUCUAUUUAUACGGAGAGAGAAGGAGAGAAGUAAUUGGUGUGCUUGAAGAAAUGUUGUCAGAAAUAUGAAAUUUUCAAUGAAAAUUCUGUCAAAAUGUCUCAAAGAAGCCAAUUUUUUGAUGGAUUUCGUCAGAAAUUCACGUUUAACUUUUUUGUUAUUUGCUUAUCUAGAAUAACAAUAUUCAAAAGUUAUGGGUAUUUUAAAAGAUAUAUUGAUUCUGAAAAUAGGAAUUGUUGUUGGUAUUUUCAAACGUGAGAGAAUAAAUAUCAUACAAAAACAACAACUAGAGUUAAAAAAAAUAUAUUCUCGGAACUGACUUUUUAUGUUACAUUUUAUCGUUUUCUAACGGUUUUAAAAAAUUUAUAACAAUAUUCUUCUUUGAGGUGAGAUAAAAUAACACAAAAUUUGAAGUAUAAAUUUUAUCCUAGAUUUAGCUAUAUCUUCAACUAAAUAAAGUACAAAUUUAAUUUCGAACGUAAUUCUGAAUUAUCUCACUUUAUUUUAUUUUAUGCACCAAAUGAAUAAAACCCUCAUAUUUAUAUAUAUCUUUUCCCUAUUCAUGAAAAAGCACAUCGAUGCACUAUAACAAAAAAAAAUAACAUUUAGCGAUAAUAAAUACAUUUGUUAUAUAUGAAUUGUCUAUAUUAAUAUGAGAAUCUUGAUUAGUUAUAUGAUGCAAAACCUUAAACCUUAAUUAAAGAUGAAAGUUUUAUAUAUGAAUUAUCUGAAUCUUAAUUAGUUAUAUGAUGCAAAACCUUAAACCUUAAUUAAAGAUGAAUUUUGUAGUUUAUUUCUGCUUUUUUCUCUCUUUCUUUGUGGUGUUGAAUUAAAUUUUAGGGUAAAAUGAUUUUACAUAGAUGCGUAUAUUUAUGUGCUUUUACAAAGUCUAGAUUAGUUUCAUUUUUUCUAGCAUUAUAUUUUUUACCCUAGAUCAAAAAAGUAAUAGAUUCAGAUGAAUCGAUACACUAUAUAAGACAUUCCACUUCCACAUAUAACUUGUCACAUUAUUACACAUACUAAUUAAUUAACAACUUUCUUAUAAUCAUGAGUUCUCCAAAGUCUUUACAUGGAGUGAACUAUGCACCACCACGAAGCUUUAAGACAGUUCUUAAAGCAAAUCUCAAAGAAACACUAUUUCCAGAUGAUCCAUUUCAUGAAUUCAAGAAUGAAAAAUUAUCAAAAAGAAUUUUAAAGGGAAUUCAAUAUUUUGUACCAAUUUGUCAAUGGUUACCAAAAUACAAGUUUGGGUUAUUUAUGUAUGAUCUUCUUGCUGGAAUUACAAUUGCUAGUCUUGCAAUCCCACAAGGAAUAAGUUAUGCAAAACUUGCUGAACUUCCUCCCAUUAUCGGACUCUGUAAGUUACAUACACUAACAGUAUAUUACUAUUUGAACAGUCAAAACCAACAUAUUUUUAAAAAGAUUUUGAACUGUUAACUAUUGUAACUUAUAUUACUUUUUAUGUUUAUUCUAAAUAUGUAAAAUUUUAUUUUUAAAAAAAUUAAAGAUUCUAUAUCUGAAUUCACACUGAAUAUUAGUUAAUUUGACCCUCGUAUUUUAGAUCAAGACAAUCUUUUUUUCAGACGGAGGGAGUAAUACUUUGUACAUUAAACUUUUUAUAGCACAUUACGCGAGAGGCGUAGCUAUAAUUAGUCAAUAAGUGAUCUGAUUGUGUAAAUAUUUUUAAAUAAGUAACAUGACUAACUUGUUAUGACAAAUUAUUAAUUUUUUUGCAGAUUCAAGUUUUGUUCCCCCUCUAAUUUAUGCUAUUUUUGGGAGUUCAAAACAUCUUGCUGUUGGAACAGUAGCAACUUGUUCAUUGAUUAUUGCUGAAGCAGUUCAACAUAAAGUUAAGCCUGAAGACAAUAUGGAAUUAUAUGUUGGUUUGUUUUACACAGCUGCCCUUAUAUCUGGUUUGCUACAAACAGCUUUGGGGGUACUAAGGUAAUUAUACAUACCAGUCGUUUAACUUUUAUAUACUGACAGUUAAAAAAAAAAUAUUGUAUUUUCAAAAAAUCUUCUAAUAUGUCAAUGAUUGCAUGUUGAAUCAACCAAAAAUAAUACAUUUUGUUUUUGGAGGAUUCGACAUGAAAGCAAUAACUUAUUUUAAGAGUCUGAGCAAUAUAAUUUUUUGAUCACUAAAAUGUUACCCCUAUAAUGAGUCUUUUGGGGUGCGAAUUUGAAAUAUCAAAAUGAGUAUCGAACAUCGAAUGAAUUAAUUUAUUUUUUGUGUGUGUGUGAUGUAGGCUUGGAUUUUUGGUGGAUUUUCUAUCACAUUCAACAAUUACUGGAUUUAUGGGAGGGACAGCAUUAAUUAUUUGCUUACAACAAUUGAAAGGCAUGCUUGGCUUAAAGCAUUUCACUAGUCGUACUGAUGUUUAUCAUGUUUUACGUGCUGUUAUUGAAAAUAGAAAAGAGGUUAGUUAAUUUUAAUUAAUUUGAUAAAGUGAUCAUUUUAUAGUCUGGUGCACAAAGUAUUUACGUUCAUAUAGAAUUCAAGGAAUUGAACGACUGCACUUCAAGGGGUGUGAUUAGACAGUACCCUAAUGCAAACAUAAAUGGUUAUUUUUAUGGUACAAGCUCGUAACCUAUAUAUCACACAAAGAUACUAACUUGAUAUUUUUUUUCGUUCUAUUUAUAUAUAAAAAAAACCCAGUGGACAUGGCAGUGUGCAGUUGUUGGAGUAAUCUUCCUUGCUUUCCUACAAUUAUCUAGAUAUGUGGUAAGUUUUUUUUAUACGAUAUUUUAAUUUAUAUACAUUGACAGUGUAAUUUUUUUUAUUUAAAUUAACAAUUUUUUUUUUUAAUUUGCAGAGAAAGAAGAAACCAAAUCUAUUUUGGGUUUCAGCCAUUUCUCCAAUACUUGUUGUUGUAGUUGGCUGCCUUUUUGCAUAUUUUUUCAAUGCUGAGAAACAUGGCAUAGCUAUUGUAAGUUAAAUUGCCCUCUUUUUUUUAUAAAAAAAAAAAAUUGGAUAUUUUUAUUAAAUAUGAUCAAUUUCGCGAAAAUAAUCUUAUGAGAAAGUGUCAGAUGAAGAGUUCCCUAGCUAGACGAUUUUUCAUGUGGAAUGAAUUAUAAAAUAAUGUCAUAUUGACAUGUCAGCUUACACUAUUUUGACCUAUUCUAACUCGAGUUUGAUGAGUCAUUUCAAGUUAAAAAUUUAUAUCAUUUUUACCAUAUGUUUUCUUAUAUUUGAUUUUACAAAAUUAAUUUAUUAUUUUUUUGAACUCAAUGCAGGUGGGAAAAUUGAAUAAAGGAAUUAAUCCAUCCUCCAUUCAUCUUAUAAAUUUUAGUCCAGAAUAUCUACCUGCUGUUGUAAAAGCUGGGAUCAUUACAGCUAUGAUUGCAAUAGCAGUAAGUACAUUUUAAUUACUCUCGUAGUUUUUUAUUCUUCGAUUAAUUCUGUUAUUUCUUGUGCUUCGUUAUCAUAUUAUUUUAUCGUUGUUACUGUUAUUUAUGCACUUUUUAUUUUCUCUUUCCAAAUUGCUCAAUCGAAAACAACAUUAGUAUGCAUAUAUAGACAUUAUACACUAUCCUCCCCAGAUUUUACGUGUGAGAAUAUUACAUAGAGUAUAUUGUUGAUGUUAUUCAAUUAUUUUUUUUGUAAUAUUUAUAGGAAGGGAUAGCUAUUGGGAGGAGUUUUGCUAUCAUGGAUAAUGAACAAAUUGAUGGUAACAAAGAGAUGGUAGCCAUUGGACUCAUGAAUAUUGUUGGCUCUUUAACUUCUUGCUACUUAAGUACAGGUAAUUAAUUUAACUUUUAUACACUGACAGUAUAACGUAAACAUGUACUAAUGAUUUUUUUCGUAUUUUUUUAUUAGGGCCAUUUUCAAAAACAGCAGUGAACUACAAUGCUGGAUGCAAGAGCCAAAUGUCAAAUGUAGUUAUGUCAUUGUGCAUGUUGCUAACUUUAUUGUUUUUGGCACCACUUUUUGGCUACACACCACUUGUUGCCUUGGCUGCUAUCAUUAUGUCAGCUAUGAUUGGGUUAAUGGACUAUGAAAAGGCUGUUCACCUUUACAAGACUGACAAAUUUGAUUUCUUGAUUUGUAUGGUUGCUUUCUUUGGUGUUGCCUUCAUUAGCAUGGACAUGGGACUCAUCCUCUCGGUACGUAAUCAAAAAAUAUUAUUAUUUGAAUUUUCAAUUCAGAUCCUAGUCGUGAAAUUACACUAAGUAUCUUUUUUGGGAUCUGAUUGAUACGACAAAAGUCAUGGAAUAACCAUUUUUUAGUCCUUCUAAUUGAAAAAUAGUCAUUAUCGUAACUUGUGACCUUCUAUCAUACUAAACAUGGUAAAAACUUACGCGUACUCGAUAUUUUUUUAUUUUUUGUAGGUUGGACUUGCCUUGAUAAGGGCACUUCUAUAUGUUGCUAGGCCACCAACAUGCAAACUUGGAACUAUAACAAAUACAGCAUUUCGUGACAUAGAACAAUAUCCUGGUUCUAAUGAAACUCCAGGAAUGUUGAUUUUGAAACUUGGUUCUCCAAUUUACUUCCCAAAUAGCAAUUAUGUAAGAGAAAGGUAAGAAAUCUCUCUGUAAUAACGUUAUUUGUCUGGAUAUUAUUUUGUUGUUAUAGUGCAAAUUGUUAUAUACACAACUUAUAUUGAACUAAUGGUAAGAUGUUUUUUUUUAUGAAUAUAUUGAACAGGAUUCUAAGAUGGGUUAGAGAUGAGCAAUCUCUUGAAAAUUCCCAAAGAAAUGAGAUUGAAUACUUGUUACUUGAUUUUGGAGGUAUGAUUUAUGAGCUUAAAAUUCACAAAUAAAAACGCAAGGACGACUCAAUAAAAUUAGUUAUUUAAAAGAAAAAUUUAAUAAAAGGUCUUCCAAAAUUAAUUUAUUUGCUUUUCAAUAUGUUACUAAAGCAAAAAAAAAUUCAAUGACAAUAUUGUAGGUGUUACAUCAAUUGACAUAACUGGUGUUGAAACUUUAAAAGAACUUCGUAGAUGCCUAGCAGCAAAAUCCAUCAAGGUAUGUAUAAUUAUAUACACUUUCUCAUUAUUUACUUCCUCGUUUCACGUUCGCUUCUUGAGAGUCAAACUACGAACUUUCACCAAGAUUUUUAAGAAGUAUUUUUUUCAUCAUAUAAUACGAAAAGGAUUACUAACUUAUAGUAUUUCUCGUAUAAUUAAAUUUUAACAGACUGACUCUCGUAAAGCGAAACGUAACAGGUGUAUAUAUAGUGUUUGAGAUUCACUAACUUUCUAAUAUACUUCUUUUUUGUGUGUAGAUUAUAUUGAUUAAUCCAAGAUUAGGGGUGAUGGAAAAAUUAAUUGCAACAAAAUUUAUUGAUUUGCUUGGGAAAGAAUCAGUGUUUUUAACAAUUGAAGAAGCAAUUGAAAAUUGCAGUUUUUCACUAAAUUCUUCAAGUCAGGCAAAAAGAGAAGAUUUGGAAAUUGCUUAGUCUACAAAGAAAUUCAUUAUUUAGGAGUAGUAUUUUAUUUACAAUAAUAGGAAAAGAAAUAGUUUUAAUUUCUUUUUUAGUGUUUUUCUACCUUUCUUCCAUUUGUUUGUUAGAAUAAAUUUUGUAGCUUUGAUUUUUAAUAUAUUUAUUGUCUUCUUCUUUUUAGUAUAAAUAAACUUCAUUUUUUUCAGCAUGUCUUUUUCAUAUUAGCAAAAAAGAAAAUUAUGUUUGUGGCCUUUAUUCGCUAGAAAAUCAACACUCUAAUUUGUCUUUCUAUAUAUACACGUAUGAUAGUGGUUUUGUUCACUUCCGAUAAAUUUCUACAAUAUUUAAAAAUGAUUCUAAGAGGGUGAUAUUGUAUGUCGAUGUUCUUUUAUAAGCUUGACAACAAGUAAACUGUUUGUCGGAUUCAUUUGAUCCCAAGAAUACUUGGGAAAAACUUGGGAAGUGGUGUUUGGUAAUAUACAAAAAAAAGUAUCCCCAAGUUCCCAAAUACUAGACUAGCUAGAAAAAAUUGGUAUUUGGGCCAAGUUCAAAUAUUUGGGAAUUUUAAAAAAUUCAAAAAUUACCCCAAGCUUUUAUAUUUUAUAAAAAAUACUCAUUAUUUAUUAAUUUCAUUUGUUAGUACCUCCUCUGAAAAAGUUUGAGUUCUAAUUUGAGUGAUAAAAUUGAGAAAAAAGAACAAUUCAUUGAAUAGGUUAUAAUUAUAACUGAAUCAAUGACAAGUUUGAAUAUGUGAUUAAUGUAUUGCUCUUGCAUAUAUUGUUAUUUUGUUGUUGUUGAUUGUUAUAACCAAAAUUUUAAGAACUAAAUAUAUAGUCAUCCUUUCAUUUAAACCAUUUAAGUGACCCGCCCCGACCCACUAAAAAUAUAAUAUUGACCCUUUUAUUUUACUCUUAUUCUCCUAAACUCUUUUUGUCUCCCUAUUCUUUCACGCUUCCAUUUCCGUCAAAUGACCCGGCCUCCCCUGGCUCUUCCACCAUUCGGGCUCCCUUUCCUCCCUAGGGUAUGCUCCCCCCGGCGCAGAGUGUUCUUCUUUUCUUUUUUUAAUUUCUCAAUGUCAGCCUCUUCUUCCCGCAUAUCAAUAAUAUCAACCUCUCUGUUUUUUUUUUGUUUUUUUUUGAAGUUUUCAUAACCUCUUUGUUCUCCAUCAAAAUCAAAUUAUUGUCUUCCCAACUUUAAAAACAAUCAAAAAAAAUAAAUACAACAAUCCCUUAGUUUACAAUUCCAACGUAAAUUUCUAUGUGCCAGACUCUUAAUCUGCAUAACUUCGGCUCUCAAAGCCAAGCGACUUACUAUAAAAAGAGUUGAUAAUUCAGUAAAACAUAAAAGAUAUUAACUCGCUUAAUUUGAAACCUUAUUUGGUACUCUAAUAAAUCAAUCAAUAUCGUUUGAAAAUAAUACAAAGUAAGCAUCAAUUUAGGACAAGAAGUAAAGUUAUAGAACUUAUUCAAACUCUGAAUUUAAACUCAUAUACAAAUAGAAUUGCGAUAAUAAGUCUAUAUACAAAUUUUGCGUACGCUUCUGUUAAUAUUAAUAUUGGAGAGUGAUAAUAAAGCCAAUAGUGUUUAUUAAUAUUAAAAUGAAAUGAUAUCCACAACAAUAAAACAUAUCAUUGCAAUUUUCCUAUUCCAUGAAUUCCAGAGUGACAAAUUCAGUUGUGAAUAGAAGAGAGUGCAGUGCAUCUAUUCGUGACGAUAUAGGUGAUGGGAUGGAUAAAAUUCCUCCAAUUUCGAGUUAGAUCUUUCAAAAUGCAAAAAAAAUCAUUGUAGGGGGCAUUUUCCCCUUCAAUAGGCGUUAACCAGUGCUAAUUUAAAUUAGUCGAAACACCAAAUGAAAUUUUCAACACAAUUCUACUAAAAUACAACAACAUUUUUAAAUCUUAUUUGACUGUUACAGAAAGAAAAAAAAUCCACCCCCAAAUUAUUAUUUUUCAACUUUUUAUGUACAUUUUUAAUUUCUCAUAUUCCUGGUUCACAAUAGUUUUUUUGUGUUUCAAGUGCUAAAGUUAUGUUUAUAACAAAAUAUAAUUCUUUUUGGUUGUUAUAAAUAAUAAAUACAUAGAUGGAUAUUUGCAUAAGGUUAUUAUUAUAAAGAGAUAAUUUCACAAAGAAACUACUGUUAAUAAUGACAGCUGUUUAGUGUUAUAAGAAGAAGAAAAAAGCUUAUAACAAAGUAGAAACUAAAAUUUGAGAUAACAAGCAUCUCUAGUGUAAUCUCAAAAGCGACGUCUGAGGAGAAUGGUGUGUACGCAGCUUACCCUUAAAUGUAUUUAUACAGAGAGAGAGGAAGAGAAGUAAUUGUGGUGUGCUAUGUCUGCUUAGAUGAUGGACACUUCAAAAAUAUCGCUCGGUUUAGAUCUUACAAAAGCUAUGCAUUUUUUUGAAGAUCCAACACGAGUGCAACUAACAUUUUUUUGGAAGUUCCAAGUAACAUAGCUGGUGAGGCAUGAAAUGAGAGUAUCAACAAUGGAAUUACCUCUUCUUUCAAGCUUGUUAUGGAUUCUUGGUAUGAACUACAACUAUACAAACUGAAAUUCAUGUGGUAAAAACAGCAGUAGCAGCAACAGCAGAAGAAGUAACAGUCAGUUGGGAUAUACUCUCCUGGCUCCCCAUGCAACAAGCUAGCCGCGAUGAUCUCUGUUUCGACCAUAAGAAGUUGGUUUCUGCAUCACCUUAGGAUUGUUGGAGGGGUUCCUCUUCUACAGAAGGUAGAUCUCUGUUCUUGGCGUCAAUUUCAGAUUUGCAGAGGGGGCAAGUCGCAUUAAUCUUCAGCCAUUUAUCUACACAUUGUGUGUGGAAGAAAUGCGAGCAAGGCAAUUCCCUCAGUUCGUCAUUGUCCUCAUAUUUUGCUAAGCAAAUACAACAUGCCUGUUUAGAUUUAACGCAUAAGAGCCCGUUAAGUAGAUGAGACUAAACAACUGAUUAAUUGUGCAAAUUCAAGAUAACUAUUCUCAAACAAAAGUUGAACAGACUCUACAAACUCCUUCCAAAAGUGCAAAUUCACCUAAAUAACAGCUCUGCAAAAUACAUGUAAUAUGUAACAAGCUAAUACCAGACCUUGGGAAGGUCGCAUAAAUCCGAGUUAAUCAAAGAUCCAGUAAAUACAAUUAGAUAUAUCCUCUUAGAUUGUUUUGAUAUGUGUGAAUAACUAACAAUGAUUAAUACGUGGUCCAAUAUCUAAAACCUAUUUCAUGUAUAUUAGUAUUAGGUUUGUCACCUGUGUAGAAACAUGAAUGCCAAGACGUAAUAACUGAAAUCUGAUACUAUCUCAAUGAUAAGUUUAAGGUCACAUGCUAUUUCCUAAGCUAUAAAGACUAACUUCUUCAGAAAAAAUGCAUUAUCUCUUCUAGUAUUUCGAAAACUUCCAUACGCGUUACAUAUUUCCUGAUCUACUGAAUGCCUGACUGGUAACAUUGGCAAAUCAGAUCAUUCAUUCUCCUCCUUUCCCUUUGCACUUUGGAUAGUUUUUACUAAGCAUAAUAUGUGUGAAUAUUUUUUUCUCACCAGGCCAAUAAUGCUGUUUUCCAUGUAUCCCUGUUUUUUGGCAAGUAAAACAAACUUCUACAAAACCAGAUCAAGUAAAACAACAAAAAAUCCAGUGUAAUUUUACGAGUGAGGGCUGGGGAGAGUGGUGUCUACACAGACCUUACCCCUACCUUGGAAUGUAGGCUGUUUCUGAAAGACCCUCGCCUCAAAUAAAGUAAUUUAAAGCAAAUAAUGAAGAACAGAACAGUAGACAUAGCAAAUAAUAUGAUAACGGAAGCAAAAGAAAACAACAGAUGAUAAUAAAAAUCGAAUAAUAAGAUAAUAAGGGAGUGAUAAUAAAGCAAAGGAGACAAAAAAGUAAUAAUAAAAAACAUGUAUUUAUUGGUCGUCCUUGAAGGAGAAAAAACUACAAAACAUGGGGUAUUAAGAAAAAAAAAUGAUCACGAAAAAAGAAACUACAUGAAAUACUUUAUAUGUUGAUUUUCAACAUCAAACGCAAUUAGUACUUAAAACAGUCAUUUAUUGACUCCUUGAUAGUGCUAAUCCUAAGGGGAAAUAGCAGUCAUGGAAAAUGGGAACGCAGCCUGUUUGCAUAUAAUGGAUUGAUUGAAAUAGCACACAUACAAAUAUUUUAGCUUAGGUAAGAUGCAAAUAACAUCAAAUCAAGAAGAAAAAACUACUUUCUGUGAGACUGUUUCCCAGAAACUCAAUUUCCGAAUCCCAAAGGCUAUGAAUAGAAAGAUGAACUUACCGCAUCUUCGCCUGAUAUGGCACGUUCCUUCUCUGUGCCUGCGGCUACACAACCACCUUCCUCCUCUCCUAGAUUUUUACUUUCAUUACUGCCAGUUCCAUCUGUCUUGACCCUGUACUUGAGUGUGGGAAGAGCGUUGAUGGACUCUUCUGUGGCUCCUCUCACUCCAUGCAUAUUCUCACGCACACCGAGGAUUGAAAUGAUACAAGGCAGGCAGCAGCAUAUCAUCGCACACAAGAUGAAAGGCAUAGCAUAUCCAAUGCAACUAAUGGUAAGAAAAGCUAUACAUAAUCUGCAAAGUAUGUGGAUCUUAUGUUAGUUUUGGUGAUACCGGUGUAGCAAAGGAAGAACAAAUAAAUAAAAAGGAAACAAUUGUACCUGUACAGAUUGGGAGCCUCAGAAGAAGACGAGUGGCCCCCAAAGAUCCAAACAUUGCCAACAACAAACCACACAGCAAAGAAGCAAUCCAAGGCCAUCUUGAAAUGAUCUACCAGUGAACCAAGUCUGGGAAAAAGGAAGCAUCAAUGCACGGUGAAUAAUACUAUCAAUGAUAUAAGACAGAUUCCAAGAUCAUGGUACUGAAGCGUAGGGGUGGUAAAAUUAGUUAAUGAAAAUAUGACCCACCCAUUUAUUACUCAGCCCAUGUCGACUUCCCAAGUUCAGUCCAUCUAAAGAAUGGGCUGAUAUGGGCCAAGUAUGCAGGCUAAAUUCACCCAUGAGAUACCUUGUCAAAAUAUUUAAAUUAAUUUUCUUUCCUUGAUAUGUUAUAUAGCUAAGAUAAAGAAAAAGAUUUACUGUAUUAGUUUGCAAAUUUUAAGAAAAUAAAAAAAUAAAAUUAAAACUUGGUAAGAGUUGGGUGAGUUGGAUUACGAACUCAUUAUUUAGCCCUUUUCGACCCAACCCCCAUCUCAGCCCAAGUAUCUUAGGGUUGGUCAAUGACCCAUUUAUCAAUUCAGCCAUUUAGACUCGUCCAAAUUCAGCCCAAACCGCUCAUUUGUCAACCCUAUUGAGGAGAUACUAACUACAUUUCCAUGAGAAUAUCCACAUGGCUGUGAAAGGAUUUGGAAGACAGAAAAACUGAAGUAUUCUUGGAUACACUUUUUAUAACAUAAUUAAAGGAAUUGGAGAAAGGAUAAAAACCUUUAAAUGAAAAACGCUAAAAUUUCAAGUUACUCAUGAAGCAAUUGUACCUAGAAAGUCAUCUGGUCAAAAGUCAUUCAAGCUAGCUAAUAUUCUUAGGGCAACAUCUGACUCCAUCCUGAAUUACUAAACAUGCUUAGUUGCCUUUUGGAUUAAUUGUGCCCAACAACAAAAAAGAUAAAGAAGAAAACACAUGGAAGAGAGUAAUGUGCAGAUAUUACCUUGCAUUGCUUUGCCUGGUCCAAAUAUCUGUAGGUGUGUUCCUUCCAUCUUCCUCAUCCGAGGACCGAGUUAAUGAGAUAGUAAUAUAAGAAUUUGGCUCUGCAGUGGAAUUGACUUGGGGUGAAUCUUGACGCAGUUGAACUGAUCUCUGACCGAUGGUUUGGUAACGGAGAAGAUAACGCCAGUACAGUAAAGGAAGGCUUGCUGCACAUCCAGUUGCAUAACCCACAAUCCAAGCAAAUAAUGGAGUUUCUGGGUUUUCCUCUUUUGACAAGGAUAAAACAACAACGGCUGCACCAAUCUGUCCUAAGGUGAAUAUUAGCUCAAUGGAAAGCCACAACAGAGUAUUAAAUGGGCUCCAACGACGAUCAGAACCUUCAGCUCUCCUAGCGGUAGAAGGGCUAUGAGAAUCUGAUUCAUUGGACGAAGAAGAGACGGAAUGUCGAUUUGGUGGUCUAUUUUCAUGGUUGGGUAUAUCCAAUUCAUGAGGAGAAUCAUUAUCAGAUGAACCUGAUGAUGAGGGGACACUUCCUUGUUCUACAUCAAUAACAUGUUCAUUCCUCUCACGACUUUCUGCUUGCUCCAUGAGCAAAGGAAAUCUGUCAGUUGGGUUCUCUUGAGUAAGUUCUUCCGAGGUAACAGCCAUUCAACCAUAAAUCUCAAGGACAAUAUUGCUACUGGUUCAGCUACCACCUUAUACUCACAAGCAAAGCUUACCUGGUGAUUUUAUUUUUAAGAAAGAAAGAAUAAAGGCUGGGUAAGAAAUGAGAAAGCUUACUCGAAUAAAGGCUGGGUAAGAAAUGAGAAAGUUUACUCCUUUAACGAGGAAGGAUCAUUUGCAGAAAAUAGUAUAGUUGAAUUGUUGUAAUAAUAUACGUUAAAAAGUCGGGAAAGUUUACACACAUGCAUAAACAUAACAAGUGGGAGGAGUUGUAUUCAAGAGCAUACAGUUGCCCACAAAUUAGCAUGUACCUUUUAAUUCAUCAAUAACUUUAUUGAUGCUGCAUAUUGUCACUUCAGAAUAAUGUACCAUUUGUAAUGUAUAGAGUACCUAUGAUGACUGCUAAGUGUAGGACAUAAAACAUUCCUUCCUUUUUCCCAGUCUUCUUUUUUCUUUCAGAAAUAUUCCUUCAAUAGGGUCUAUCAGAAUCAGCCUCCUUACCUUCAAGGUAGGGGUAAGGUCUGCGUACACUCUACCCUCCCCAAGCCCCACUUUGUAGGAUUACACUUGGUAUAUUGUUGUUUCUUUGAAAAAUUAUUUCUUCCAAAUUCUUCUCUAACAUCUCACAUAUUACAAGGACAACAUGAGAUGAAUCACUCCAUUGGAUUUGAGGUCAAGCUUCUCAACAAAGAAGGCUUCUAAUGAUUCUAGCAUACUUAGUUUGGUUGGCAGGUGAAACAAACUUAUUGCGACUUAAAUUAAUAUUGCCUUUUCUUUACCCAGAGAAAAAAAAUUCGCCUUCCUAUGAGCAUCAAGAGUUAAUUUUGAAAUAUCCAUGUGAUGCUUAUUGAAAUGUAGUUGUUUGCAUUCUUAGAUACAUAAAAUCAGUUAAUUAGCAAAAGCACCAUUUUAUGAGGGAAUGUGCAUGGCUUAUUUCUCUAUAAAUACAGGUUGGGCGAGAUCACCGUGUGUAAUACACAUCUAUCUCAAGGUAUUGUGGUCUUGUUUGGGAGAAUCUUGUGAAUGGAUGACCGAGAGGUAAAAUUGAGCAGCAAGAUGUAGCACCAAAGUCGAAUAUCAUCUUUUGAACUCUUAUGGAUCAAGCUACUCCAAGAAUUGAAAUCAGAAACCUAAAAUCAGAUGAUUCUCAUUUAUGAAAACUAAGUUGCACUUUGUAACAACAACAUAACCAGUGUAGUCCCACAACGUGGGGUUUGGGGAGGGUAGAGUGUACGCAAACCUUACCUCUACCUCAAAGGUGAGGUAAAGUGGUUGUUUCGAUAGGCCCUCAAGCUCAAGACAAAAACAGUCUAGAAAAAGACAUAAUGAAAGUACAACAGAUGAUAGAUAGUAACAAAAAUAACCGAUAGUACCAGAACAGUACUACAAUUGAACUACACGAAACAAUAGAUAGUAAUAAAAAUCAAAGAACAUGAAACUACAAGAAUAGUCCUACGACAACUAGUAAAGGUAACAAGACAAAGUACUCCUACCUACUAACCUUCUACCCUAAUUCAUGUUCUCCACACCUUCCUAUCUAAGGUCAUGUCCUCGGUAAACUGCAACCAUGUCAUGUCAUGUCUAAUCACUUCUUCCCAAUACUUCUUCGAUCUACUUCUAUCUCUCCUGAAUCCAUCCAUAGCCAACUCAUACUUCCCAAAAAAGACACUUCCAGAAUUCAUUGUCACUGAAUACGCAACGUCAUUAUCAACUCGCAAACAUGUUUACCACACUUGUCCGUCUUCAAACUAGUUACACAUGCAACAAGCUCGCUACAUGCCUACAUCCAACAUACAUGCAUCAAAUUGAGGAGAGUGUUGAGUUCAGUCACAUCUGUAUAUAGAUUAUAUAUUGGUAUGGUAUUCCACAUCGUAAAAGAUUGUAGUUUUAUUAUCUAGAAGACUAGAACAAAGUUCACAAAUGUAAGACAUAAUACUUAUACAUUUUGUCCAAUUUCCUCACAUCACACACUUGGUAUAUUUUCAAACAUAUGGACUCACACCAAACACACGAGGCUCCAGAUCCCAAGAAAGAAAUCUUCUAAAAUAUUAACAAGACUUACAAAUAUAUAUAUAUAUAUAUAUAUAUAUAUAUGAUUAAUGCCUAAUGAUACUGCGUCUGUCUAAGAAGGGGGGGCAACUCUAUUCUCCUUGGCUUGCUCAAUCUUCCUUUUCUGAUUGAAAGUAGCAAGAACUAAAUUCUUGGAGAAAAAAUCAUUUUCUGCUUUCCGUCUCUGAAUACUGACCAACAUAAACUUCACAGACUACAUAUACCAGCAACCAAUCGAGCUCCCCAAUCCCUAAUCCAAUCAAACCAUGAUUCAUUCACAUCCUUUAAGAUAAGGACAAGAAAUUGCAUGAGGCACACAAGCUAUGGAACUUAAACCACUUUUUUAUAAGGAAAAAAAUCUGGACCAUUUCUUGAUUUGCCUACGUCAUCCUUGCACAAGGGCCAUGCUAAUCUUCUCCUCAUCGUUCCAAUUUUAUCAGAUGUCCCCGAAGGGACACCUGACCACUUUAUGUUUUAACAAAUAAACUAUUAACUACUACAAGUCAGUCGGUCAGUGAGCCUUAAGCAAAGGAUUUUCCCUUGAGAAAAGAGAGUGAACCAGCACACGACUGAAAUUACGCAACAAGUCCAGGAAUACUCUGACCCAUCUUUAUUUUUGUGAAUAAGAGCAGUAACGGAAUUAAUACAGAACAAGGUAAGAUCAAAACACGCACAAAAAAAAAGCAAGUAUUAUGAUCACCCCUGUGGGCUAUGUCAGAAAUUUUGGACCAUUUUUUUAUAAGGUAAGUCACUAUGACUGAAAUUUCAAGCCUUGAAUUGUUAAAUUAUUUAUUUUGAAGAUCUACAAAGGGAAAGAUUUUUUCUUGAGAAAAUCUUAACAGUUACAUCCAAUCACAGACUAGAAAGUUAUCCCUCUUUUAUGGAGAUUUACUGAUAUGAACCUAAAUAGAGCAGAAUGGACAUGGAUGAUUCAUACAACCCGAUUAGGGAUUGAAAUGAUAUCAUGCUACACUUAAUUGCUAUCAGAACUAAGAACAAUUAAAAUUUGGCAUUCAUCCAACAAAUGAAAUGGAAAAACAGCGGCUUCGAAACUAUGGCACCCUGAGUAGAAAAAAUACGAACUCAAUCACAAUAAGCGGGAUUCAAAUAAAAAAUUCAAGAGUGGAGGUUUUACCCUGUGCGCACCCAACAGGUAGCGGCUGAGGGUUUCCCUCGUCAUAAAAAAAAAUCAUUAACACGAAUUUUUGCUAACGAUAUCCAAAUUAGAAGAACUCCACAACAACAACGUCUCGAUCCCAAACUAGUUAAGCAUCUCCAUAUAAAUCCUCUGUAUCCAUUCAACUCCAUUUGGGUACAUUUAACAACACUAUUAUCGAAAUAUUCUAAGCCCCAAUAUAGCUUCACAAAUCAAAUUUCAGCUCAAAAUUCAACAUAAACGCUCUAACAAGCAAAUUCAGCCUUGAAGCACUAUUCUCUUCUAGAUAAAUCCUCAAACUUACACAUUAAUCCAUUCAUAAAGGUAAAUCUUAAAACUAAUAUCUAAGUUGGAAUAACACUACAAUCCCAAACUAGUUAAGUGUCUCCAUAUGAAUCCUCUAUAUCCAUUCAACUCUAUUUGGGUACAUUUAUCAACUCUAUGCCGAAAUAUCCAAACCCCCAAAAUAGCUUCGCAAAUCAAAUUUCAGCUCAAUAUUCAACAUGAACGACCUAACAAGCAAAUUCAGCCUCGAAGCACCAUCCUCUUCUAGAUAAAUCCUCAAAUUCACCCAUUAAUCCAUUAAUAAAAGUUAAAUCUUGAAACCAAUAUCUAAAUAAGAAAACCUCAACAACCCCAAACUAGUUAAGCAAUCUCCAUAUGAAUCCGCUAUAUAUAUUCAAAUCUAUUUGUGCACAUUUAACAACUCUAUUGUCGAAAUAUCCAAACCCCCCAAUAUACCUUCACAAAUCAAAUUUCAGCUCAAAAUUCAACGUAAAUGCUCUAACAAUCAAAUUCAGCCUCAAAAUGCCAUCUUUUCUAGAUAAAUCCUCAAAUUUACCAGUUAAUCCAUUCAUAUAAGUUAAAUCUUGAAACCAAUAUCUAAUUUAAAAGAACCCCACAACAAGAACAACGUCUUGAUCCCAAACUAGCUAGUCAAUCUCUAUAUAACUCCUCUUAUAUCCUUUCAACUCUAUUUGUGCACAUUUAACUACUCUAUUGCCGAAAUAUCCAAACCCCCAACAUACCUUCACAAAUCAAAUUUCAGCUCAAAAUGCCAUCUUUUCUAGAUAAAUUCUCAAAUUUACCCAUUAAUUCAUUCAUAAAAGUUAAAUUUUGAAACCAAUAUCUAAAUUAGACGAACCCCACAACAGCAACAACAUCUUGAUCCCAAACUAGUUAAAUAAUCUCUAUAGAAAUCAUCUUAUAUCCAUUCAACUCUAUUUAUGCACAUUUAACAUUCUUUCUAUCUCCAAGAAAUCCAACCCCCCCCCCCCCAAUAUACNNNNNNNNNNNNNNNNNNNNNNNNNNNNNNNNNNNNNNNNNNNNNNNNNNNNNNNNNNNNNNNNNNNNNNNNNNNNNNNNNNNNNNNNNNNNNNNNNNNNNNNNNNNNNNNNNNNNNNNNNNNNNNNNNNNNNNNNNNNNNNNNNNNNNNNNNNNNNNNNNNNNNNNNNNNNNNNNNNNNNNNNNNNNNNNNNNNNNNNNNNNNNNNNNNNNNNNNNNNNNNNNNNNNNNNNNNNNNNNNNNNNNNNNNNNNNNNNNNNNCUUUCUAACCCCAAAAAAACCCACCCCCCCCCCCCCCAAUAUACCUUCAUGAAGCAAAAUUCAGCUCAAAUUUCAACAUAAACGCUCUACAAUCAAAUUCUCCACGAAACCCACUACAUAAAUCCUAAAAUCAACCCAUUAAUCCAUUCAAAAAGGUUUAAUUUUGAAGGAAAUAAAUCAAUAUAGGUAUCGAUAAAUCGAAACAAUAUUAAAAAAAAAUGAAUUAAAAAAAUCGUAAAAUUUACCAGCGAUUAUAUUUGAUGAUCGAUAAAGUUCGUCAGUAUGAAGAUUUCUCUGAAAUUAGGGCUUCGAUUUUUAACUUUUUUAUGCGAAAAAGGGCAAAAUUUUGUCAGCACCCAUAAUUGCUCCACCGACUCCUCCUAUUAAUUUUUUGUAUUUGUAUGGGAUUAUUAUUAUUUUAUAUUAUAUGUAAUUAUCUUUUUAGAAAAUGACAUUUUGACAUAAUUAUCCAUCAAAAUAAUAACAUGGAAAUGUAUAUUCUUUAUUUUCCUAGUUUUACUUGUUCAUUAUUGACUUGGAAUACACAAAAAUUUUAGUAAUGAUAAUUUUAUUAUAAAUAUUAAUAAUAAAUACAAUGUUUUGAAAUUUAUCAAAAAAAAUGAUUAUAAUUAAUAAUAACGAUAAAUUAGAAGUUAUGUGAUCAAUUAUCUCUUAAUUUUUUUAAUUUGUUAAAUAAAUGUGUACAUUUGUUUUAUAAAGGAUGAGUGAAAAUAUAUAUAUAUAUAUAUAUAUAUAUAAUAAUUUUUUUCUUUUUUAAAAAAUAUUUUAUCAUGCUUCUCUUAAGUAUUUGAUGUUCAGAUUGUUUUGUUAUGUUUAUUUUUAAGUUGAGUGGCUGAAUCGGAAAUAGUCUCUUUACUUUUCAAGAUAGGAAUAAGAUUUUUGUGCACCCAAUUUUCUUUAUACUCCAUUUAUAAAAUACAUUGAGUAUAUUAUUAUUGCUAUUAUUAUAUAGUUUUAUAUAUUUAACUAGAGGAUAUAAUUGCUUUUUCUUUGAGAAGCCAAAUAUAUAUAUAUAUAUAUAUAUAUCACUUAUCCUUUCUUUUUUUCUAUUCAGUUUUCUUCUAGUAUUUUGUUUUUCUAAUUCUUUUCCUUUUUAUUUUUUUAUUUACUUAUUUAACAGGUUAUACUUAGGAAGUAUUUGAGCAUAUACUUAAUUUGGUGCCCACACAAUGUGCUAGGAACAGACAAUGCAUCUGUUUUGUAUUUUAUUUAUAAGCAAAGAAGAUCAAGAGAAAAGGCUCAAUUCACAACCAUUAAAAAAUAUUGAACCUUUAAAUUCGAAAAUCAGAUUUUAUAAAAUCGUUAUUUAUUUGGAUUAAAUGUUGUUGCAAAUGAUUGUGAAUAUUCGUAAUCGUUAGAAUUUAUAUGUCAAUUUUGAGGUUGUUUGAAAAGAUUAGAGCUGAUUUUUAUUGAAAUAUUAUAUUGAAACUCGAGGAUCAAGAAGGAAAAUAAUUCAUUUCGCACCCAUCAUUUCAACUUUGAGAUAGCAUAUCUAAAGUUUUUUGAGCUGGCUAAACUUUAAAUUAAAACAUUUAUAAAUUAUGACUAUUUCUAUAAAUAGGAAUUCUAAAAACACACUUGGGCCCUAAUACAACUUUCAAAGCCCAUUGAUAUUUAUUAUCCAUCAAAUUAGCCCAAAAGCUCAUCUGGGCUGGGCUUCAUUAUCAAGUUAGGGCCUUGUCUAGCUCUAUUCAUUAUGGAUUUUCUAUUUAUUUAUUUUCACAAAUUAUUACAAUUAAAAGUUAAAUGGGAAAUUUUCGCAAAUAGCCACUAUAAUAAACUUAAUUAUGCUUCAUAGUUAUAGUGUGCAUAUUUACGGGCUGUAGCUACAGUUUAAGCUGUCUCGUUUGUAUAAUUUGCAGGUUUGUACAAUUUGCGGGUACAUUUGUAUAAUUCAGUUAUUUUUGUAUAAACUCGAAAUAACGAAUUUAUACAAUUACAAACAUCAGAAGUGUAAACAGUUACACAAAUUAUUUUAUACAAAUUAUGAAUUCUACAAAAAUUAUACAAAUUAUAUGAUACAAAUUAUGAAUUAUACAAACGUGCUAAUUAUACAGAACUAAAAGGCAGAGUUGCACAAUUAUAGCUAAAAGUAGGUUGCGAAUUGUAAUUAAGACAAACUAUAGCUAUGUUAACUAAUUAACUAGUAUAUUUAAGUAAAAUUUCAAGAUUGACAACUAUAAUCUUAUAUUCGAAAAUUGACAAUUAUUCAUGGCUAUUUCUUUCCAUUCAUGCAUGUUCAUAAAAAAAUUGAAAUACUUGGGUCUUCUCUUAUUAUUGGUCAAUAAAAAUAUGUGUAUAUAAUUAAUUUAAAUCAUAUAUAUUUAUUACGAUGAAUAUAUAUAUAAAAAAAAAAAGUAGCACCGAAUAUAUGGGCAACAAGUCAUUUUUAAAAACUUUAUUUUUUGAUGUGGAUAUCAUAAUAUAUAUGGUUUAAGGCAUGUGGUUUUUAAUGCUUUAGUUUCUCCAAAAAUGACCAAAACAUUAGAGCCACACACAUGAACAAUUAUUUUAAUUAGUUUAAGACAUUAUUUUUCAAUGCCUAAUUCAAUAUUAUAGUUGUACUUUAUUCCAUUGUUGGUAUUAAAAUUAUGUGUUUCGAUUUACUUGAGUCCCUCCCAAUAUUUAUUAGUAAUUGCUCCCACUUACCACUUUUAUUUUUAUUUUUAUUUUUAAUUUGGUACUAGCUUUGAAUUAUUCUAAUUAGUUUAGAUUUGUCGCGUAAAGCUCAUUAAAAGAGAAAACAUUUUCUAUAAGGGUUGUUUCCAUUUCAGGAGGGUUAGAACCUGAAAUUAUGAUUCAGAGUAAAAGGAUUAUAUUCAUCUUACCACAAUUAUUGGCGGUAUAUACCACAACUAAGUACCAGUAGAUGUAUAAAUUACUCAUAUUCGCUAAUGUCAUGCUUUAAUCAAUUUGAUAUCAGCGAUGUAUUCAUGAUUUAACUUAAUAAAUUAGAUAUUUAAUGUUCUUAAUAUUAAACUCAUUAUAUUUUUAAAAUUAUAAGUUAAUAUGUAAUAUUUAUUAUUCUUUUGAUGAUUUUCUCAUAUACAUAUAUAUCUUUAAAAUGAGAAAACAUCCAAAUGCCCCCUCAAGCUAUGAGUGAAUUUUCAACUACACACUUAUUCUUUACGGGGGGUCCUAUUACCCCCUUGAACUACUUUAAAACCGAUCAAGUAAUGCUGACAUGGCAUAGAGAGUGCAUUUCACUCUCUCAAAAAACAAUUAAAAAGAACAUUUUUAUUAUAAUUAAAUUGUAUAUUUUUCUCUCUUUUUUCUUUUUAUUUAUUUAUUUAUUUUUAUAAGAAAAAUUACCCCUUUAAUGGAGGAAAUUACUUUCCCUUUCACUUCUAUGGAAGAAAAAGAUAGCAGUCCCAACAUUCACAUCUCUGAUAGAUGAUAAAUCCUAAUAUUUGACAGAAAAACUCAUCGAACGAGUCGGCGAUGAGGAAGAAAUAAUCACCGGAAAAGAUGAACUCACGGACAAAUUUGAAAUUUUAUUCUUGAGCUUCGAAGCUCUUUAAUAAUGGUUGUCCAUGGAUUUGUAUUUCCUCCUUAUUUGUCAAUUUUUUUCUUUAACUCAAAUCAAUUGAUCUAGAUGUUUUCAAACUCAAGAACUCAACAAUGGGAUUCCCAUAAAGGAUUCAAUUUAGUCUCUACAAUUUGUAAUUGAAAAUGAAAAUUUUCAGAUUUGGAUUCAAACUCUGCAACCCACAAUUUUUUUUUUAUUUUGACAGCUUUGUAGGUCAGUGUGAUUUUCUGAUUUUUGGCUUAAAUCUUCACACCUAAUUCGAAAUCAAUUAACAAGUAAUGUGUGGUUUCAAUACACCAAACCCAAUCACAUUUACAAACUUUCAAGAUUUGCACAAAUUCGAUGAACUCAAUGAAGAACAAUAGUUUUGUUUUCUUCAAAUUUUAAGAAAUUAAUAAAGCCAAGAAAACAAUUGAAGAUUUAAUUAAGGUAAGUAUUAUAGAAAUAUAUAGUUUAAAGGAUCAAUUUGUGUGUAUAUAUACAUAGAAUACAAAUUUUUUUAGAAAAAGAAAAGAGGUAAAAUAGAAUAAAGAUGAAAGAAGAAUCUAAAAAAAGUUUUUUUAAAAAAAUUAUUAUAUAUACCUGACAGCUGGCAGUGCGUGUCCACCACUUCAGGUUAUGAAUGUGGGUGUAUAGUUUUAGGGUGAUAUUUAUAUCGUUUUAAAGUAGUUCAAGGGGGUAAUAGGAUCCCCGUAAAGUAAAAAUGUGUAGUUAGGAAUCGGACAAUAGGUUGAAGGGUCAUUUGGCUAUUUUCUCCUUUAAAAUUAAAUGUUCAAAUUUUAGAUAUAAAAUAUUGAAUUCAAAUAAAACCUACUACCUAGAGCUUCUUUCACAUCAAACCAUGAAUUAUUGAUAGCUAGGCCAAAUCAAGCAUGCCCUUGAAGCUAGAAUAUCAAUAGAUUUGUAUAUGUAACCACUUUAUUCAACAUUAUAUUGUUGAUCUUUCUUGUUGAACUAGUUUUUGAGGCUAUGAUUAAAAAAUAAUAGCUUAAACACUUAAUUUCUAUCAUUAUCAAGAUUAACUUUAAUUAGGUUUGUACUUUUUUCUAUCGUUAUGAGGUGUUUUUCUUGUAAGUUAUCUACAUUGAAAGACAUUGAAUGAGUGACUCAUAUUAUUAGAAAAUCGUCAUUUUUCCACUAUUAAUUUUGGCUACAAAAAGAUAGACGAAUUUUUUUAUUAUCAUAAUCGAAAAGUGUUUAAAAAAUUAUUUUAGAUGUUUAGCUUUUUAUCCAUCUAAUUUUACGUCUUCCGAUUACCAAAAAAUGAAUGGAAUGGUAUUGAAAACCUUACAACUAUGCCUAGCUACUUUUUGAUAAAAACGGCUGUCAAAAAAUCAUGAUAUUCUAGUAAUAUCAUUUAACCAAAUCUAAGAUAAAAUAGGAAUAAUAUAAUAAUAGAAUUAAACCACUUCACUAAAUAAAGACCACAAGUAACCUUCAAUUAUCUAAGUUUUAGUCAAUUACUUGUGAAACUAUUUCAUGAAAGUGUAAACUCUACAAUUGGAUUUUGCCGUGUUUAGUGUUCUACAAAACUCUAAGAUGACUUCUACUUCAAUUCUUCAUGUGCUAUUAUAUUGUUCAUUUUAGACUAAACACAAAUGUCGUUUUCUCAAAAGUCUCGUACUACUAAUAUUAUUUUUCACUCUUUUCAAUUAUUAACAUAAUACUUUAUUUACAUCCCAGACAAUCUCACAUCAAACUAAUUUCCACAUGAUCCAUCACUAUGAUACACGAGUCUCUUUCUCGAACUAAACUUCACAUGGCUCAUUACCAUGAACCAUGUAGUGUCAACUUUGAGAUUCAUUGUGUGUCAUAAUUGAAAAAAUAUAUGUCCACAAAGACAAAGCCUUGAAUUUUUUUUUUAUUUUUUUGCACAUACAUCUCCAAGCUACUUUUGAAAGGUAGUAAAUCGAGUUUCACAUCAUUACUCGCCUAUUUUCACAUUUAUUUCAUCAAAACAUUUGUUUGUAUAUUUGUUGUUGAGCUAAAUCAGCUCAAAAAUAUCCUUGAUGAGUGAUAUUGUAUGUUUUUGGACAAAACCUUCUAAAUAUAUUUUUCAAAAUUAUCUCACAUCAUUAAUUAAAAUAUUAUACAUCUUAUAUUAAUUUUCAAUAUGAGAAUUUCUUUAGACAUUCAACAAAAGAUAAUGUUAGACAAAAUAAAGAGUAGUUUAAAUUUGCUAGAAAUUGACAAAGAUGAAGGACAAAGUGUCACGAGUUUGAGUCAUGAAACUUUUUUUUAAGUACGGAACAAUAAACUUUUCAUAGGACUUCUUCUAUCACACAAAUUUAAAUUAAUCAUAUUAAUAAAUAAUAUUAUUCCAUACACCAUAUGUUUGAAGGAAAAACAAAGGUCAAAUGCUUGAAGAAGAAAAGUUGGGAAACACCUCCCUUUCUUUUUUUCUUUUUAUUUUAUCCCUUCGAUGAAUUUUUCUUUUUGAUCAAUGCUCUACUAACUAGAAAAUAUUGUUUGAAUCAAUACUCCAAGACAUCUAUUGAAUACAGCAACAUGAAUUUUUUUCACAAUAAACAAAAAUCUUAUAGAAUAGUACCGUGUCGAGGAGAAGGCCCAUAAAUCGUGAACUUCUUUUUGUCAAAAAAGAAUUUUAAAAGGUUAAGAAAGGAAAAAUCAAAACCCUAAUUAGUUUGUGGACAAUGACAAAAUUAGUAAUAGUAGGAAAUGGACCAAUAUUGCACACCACAAAACGACCAAAUUAGUCAAUUACUAUAGAAUUCAACUUGUAGGAACAGUCCACACAAUUUUAAAUAUAUUGCUCCAAAAAAUAUAUACAGAAAAUGACACUUUUUAAGCAGAUAAUUUUUUAUGACAGAAGAAAUUCACAAUCGUUACAUGGUAAAUCUCAUUCUAGUAUAAUAGCCUGUAAAUCACAUAGAAAAGAUAAAUAGUAAUAAGCAAGUCUCAGGCGGUGAGAUCGACCGAAAAAUCAUCUAGAAGAUUUUGAACCUAUCGAAAUUUCUCCAAUUCGUUUUUAUUUAGGAAAUUUCGUGAUCAAUCAACUCAAUCAUCCUGCCGGUUAUUUUAUAGGAAUAUACUUGAAUAUUAUUUCCGUUUCCUAUCCCUAUCAACUAAGAAAAAAUAAGGUCAAUUUUGCAUUUCUGCUGGCAAAAUAAUUAGUGCACCACGUUGCACCGAAUAAUUAAAGUCAAGUAAGAACUAGGAAUCAUAAUAUAAAGUUUUAAAAUAAAUUUGUAUAGUAGUUCAACAAACUCCUACUUACCUUUUGUAUAGACAUUUGUUUGAUUAUAUGAGAAUUUUAAAUUCAUAAUAUUUUUAAUUAUGGAGAACCAUAUAAUUGAAAUCUUAAAAAGAAAAAUAUGUUACAUACUACUCCAUAUACAUAAAUGAUGACUAUCGUAAAACGUGUUUUGUGGAUUUGAUAAAUUUCAUGUAUUUUUAUAUCUUAAAUGUUUUUAAACUCGAAAAUGUAUUUUAUUAAAAUUUUGAAUCUGUCACUGUAUAUAAAUUUAUUAAGUAACUUACCGACUAAUCAAUUUAUCAAAUUUCCUUUUUUUUUUGUUGGUUGAAAUUUGAAAAAUGACAAAAAGAGAUAAUAUUUAAUGAGAAGCUUGCUAAGUUGGUUGUGAUUAAUACUUUUCAAAUGAUUUCUUAUCACAUAAUUUGGGAUAGAAUUAAAUGCUUAAAAAUACAGUUUUUAGAUUCUAGUCUUUUUCUCUAGCCAAUAUACUUUACAACUAUUUUGAAUAGACUAUUAUUAAGAGCUCUAUAAACCUAAUCAUCUUCAUUCAUCAUGAUGAUUAAUAAAUACCUAACCAUUUAGCCUCCUUUGUUUGUUGUUAUCAUAUCAAUAAACUAACUAUGAAAUUUAUUGCUAUAUAAUUUGUAGCUAAUAAAAUUUGAAAUUUGUCGUUAAAUAAAAUGAUGUGCAAAUUUUUAUUAUUUAGUGACACACAUUGCCUUUUAGUUUCCAUUCGAACUUUGAUAUACUUUAAGAUUAUAUAUCUAAAUUUACAUUUGGAAGUCUCACUUCAUGAAUAAACUUAUUCCACGACUGCUCUAGUCAAUCUCCAAAACAAAGCAUAACUAUGACAUUGCUAUUUUUUUUUCUGAUUUCAUCGUAUAAAUUUCUAACUCCGUCACAAAAUUCUACAGAAUUUGGUAGAUGAAAAAAUUAAUUAAAUGAUGGAAGAUGAACCCUAGGAAAACACAAAUAAAUUAAACAGAUUAAUGAAUGGUUAUUUAAUUAUUAUUUUUUAUGGGUAGCCAUGAUGUGGAAGAAUGCACUAAAUUGCAAAAAAUAAAAAAAGUGAGCUAAAGGGGUCUAACUUUUAUUAGAAGUGUAUAAUAUAAUAUAACAUGACAUGAUGCCAAGUGCCAACCUAGCUAGUUAAUUUUUUUUAAAAUCAUUCAAAUUAUUGAAUUUUGGAUUAGAUGUAUUUAGAGAGAAUGAAAGUAUGUGGAUACUUCCAUUAUUAGUUGUUUCUUCCAGAUAAAGAAAAAAAAAGGAAAAAAGAGAGAGAGAGAGAGAUAAGGGUGUGUUUGGCAUGACAUAAUUAUUAUUUUUUGUUCGAUUGAUUAGAAUUUUCAUUAAGAAGUAGAAAAAACAAAGAAGAAGUAAGUAUCCUCCAUCUCCACCGCCCCUAUCACUCUCUCUUCUCAUAUUUUCCUUCAUACCAAAUAGUCGAACACACCCAAAUUGCUAAAUUAAUAAGUAUUUCUUUUGUAUUAUACAUAAAAAUAUUAUUAUUUAUAUUUGAUAAAAUAAUUAAAAUGUAUAAUUAGAUAUAAGAAAAUGUUGAAUAUUACAACUCAUUAAUAAAACAUAUAUUCUACUUGUACCCCAAGCAUAUAUAUAUGGCCACAAAAUGGAGAAGAGAAGGAUAAGUUGCACACUUUAGGCCUGCAUAAGACUAAUCUAAAGGGAAGAUGAUCCAUACACACUAGAUUUUAUUUUAUUUUCAUAUUAGAACUCACGGUUUUUAGCUAGGGAAGAAAUUAUUUUUCAUCCGAUAUUUGAUAUUUGCUAUUCAUUUUAGAGCCCAGAUGAAUUUAAUUACAUCUCAUAUCAUGCUAGUCAAAGAGAAUAACUCUUUGUUUACCAUGAGUUUUUUUAUUUUUAAGAUUUAACUCAAAAUCUCUGAUUAAAAAUAUUUUUUUUAUUCAUUUCACCGCAAUUCUCCAAAAAAAAUCUAUAUACUAUUAUUAUAUGUGGGUGUGGACAUGUGAUAUAAAAACAUCUCCUGAGUCCUGACUUUGGUUCAUUCCCAAUAUUAUUAUAUACAGUUAGGAAUAUUACAAAUCCGUCCAAAAACUCUACUCAUUUCAAAAAAUUUAUUUAAAUGCUUAUUUGUCAAUGUGAUUAAUUUUUAGAAUUAAAUUGAAUUAGAUUCAUUUAUUAUUUUAAAUUUUAAAUUUGAAUAUUUAAAAACUACACGAAUAAUAUUAUAAAUUGCAAUCAUUUUCAUAUCAGUGUGAUUAAAAAAUACAAUAUUAGUCAAAAUUCGUACAAUUUGACUCUUGAACAUCGAAUUAUGACAAGUAAAAAUGAACGAAAGGAGUAACUAAAAGAACAAAUUUAAGAUUUAAAGCAUUCUCCACUCUCAUUUCUCUAUGAAAUAUCGGCAGAUAAGAUUUCUUUAUUCACGAUGUAAAUUUAAAUUAAUAAAUCGAACGAAAAUUUAUUAAUUGAUUGAAAAAAUAAAUAACAUGAAGUGUUUCAAGACGUUUUGAAUUUUAAAGAAGCAAAACGCCAAAUUGUACAAUUUUGACCCUCGGAAAGUUCCAAGAAAAAUAGAAAGGAAUGUACAAUUUUGACCCUUCCAAUUAACGAUUAUUACUAUUACUUAUGUUUUUUGUCAAGUACUAUUUUACCACUACUCAAUUCACAAAUAACGAUGUUGCCAUUGCAAAUAUCAAUUUUAUUGUUGGAAAAAUAAUAAUCACAAAAUGAUAAAAAAAAUACUCUUUUGUCUCCAAUUUAUUUGAUAAAUUUUCUUAGUCGAUUAAAAAAAAAAGAUAUACCUUAUAUAUUUUGUAAUAAAUUUAAUUUUACACUUCUCAUUUUAUUUUAAAUAUUUUCUUUGAGUUUGAUUUUAAUUUGCCAUAAAUUUUAAGAAAGUGAAUUUUUUUUUGAAUCUUGUGAGCUUAAACUAUGAAUAUGUUGAAUGUACCAAAUAUAUUUUUAAUCUUGUAGUCUUAAACAUGUCAUGUGAAAAGUUAGAAUUAAAAAAUUAUCAAAAAAGAUAUUUAUUUUUAAAUAGACUAAAAAUGAAAGUAAGACGAACAUUUCUCUAUAUCUGUCUCCGAUUUAACAAAAAAAUUUAAGAGUCUUUUUUAAAAAAAAAUUAGUGCGUCGAAUCCACUACUGAAAAAUCACUACAAUAUGUUUAGUAGACAUUUUCACAGAUAAUUUGAUUGAAUCGGUGAAAAAAAUUAUAUAUACUAAUGUUUUCACACGAAAAAAAUAGGAAGCUUUCAGUAUUUCGGUAAGAAUCUGUUUUUCACAGUAUGUAUUUCUAGUGAAUUGAUUCAAUGAGAAAAUUAUAUUUUAUAACAUAAAUUUUUCAUUCAUUAAUAAUAAUAAUAAUAAUAUUUAUUUUUAGUAGCGAUCAAAUAUCAUGACAUAAAAUCAUAAAUUGAAACAAAGGUAACUUAGCAAAUGUGUUUUAGCCAUAUGAAACACUAAAUUACAGGUCAAUAUGAAAUUUGUUUAGUUGUCAACAAUCUAUCAAAUGUGAACUAUACUCUUAUGUUAAAUUAAAAAAUAUUACGUUAGGCCAUACGUAAUUUACAUUUGACAGAUAGAAAUUAAAAAAAAUAAAAUUGGGUCAACUAACCCAACUUGAACGUAAUAAGAUGAUUCAAACGAAGAAAAUAAUUUAUGAUAGAUAUUAAAAUUUGAAUAGAACGAAAGUGUUAAUAUCUAUAUUGCAUUUUAAGAGUUUGAACACUAUCCUACAUCAAUAAAAAAAGAGUGAUUAUAUUAUUAUUUUUACUUGUGUAAUGAUAAAAACAAGUUUAGAUGACCGAUACAUGUGUUUUUUUAGCUAUAAAUUAAUCCAAUCAUUACUAAAUAAAAGCCCAAAAAAACGAUUGAGAAACCAAGCUCAAAUCGAAGAUCGCAAAGUUUUGAUCGGUAAAAAGAAAAAAGUGGGCAUAGAGCGGAGCAAAUUUGGGAAAGUGGGUAGAAAUUAAUAUUAUUGAGUCCGAAAAUAGAGUUUUUAUUCAAACCUCACGAUAUGGAAAAGUAUCAUCAUAAUAACUCGAUUUGUCCGAUAAAUUAUUUGAGAAAGUCGAUGUUUUAAUUAGAAUCAAAUCACAACUUAUUAGUUUAGUCAAAUAUUUUUCACAAAUUUAACUUACAAACCGUCUAAUAUUUACUAAUUAUGGUUCAACACUAACAGACUAAAAUAGUAAAAUCUUGGUCUGAUUAUAGAUAAAAAGAAACACGAAUACUAGCCUUCAACCUCGAUUCGAUCUAAUUUAAUUAGGGUUUGAGCCUUUCAUUUUAAAUGUGAAAGGUAUGAGAUUUAUCAAGUUAUCUAGCCUUUAACCUCGAUUUGAUCCAAUUUAAUUAUAAAGUGUCCAAAAUUAAGUUUGAUUUGAAGAGUUCCAAACAAUUCUUUUAAGAUCUAGCUUAAUUUCUUCUCUAAAUUGAACCAUGCACACCUUUAUAAAUUACUCCAUAUGUACUGUCUAAAUUGGGGAAACAUCAACUUUAAGAUUUAUCAAUUUUAUCGUUCAUGAACCUUCUAUUUUUUGCAAUUUCUUAAUAGAUCACAUCAACUUUUCAA
RNAcentral lists this long non-coding RNA (47142 nucleotides) under Solanum tuberosum (potato). RNAcentral describes it as "long non-coding RNA (STUB_LNC011165)". The record is from RNAcentral. Lineage: Eukaryota; Viridiplantae; Streptophyta; Magnoliopsida; Solanales; Solanaceae.